AGAAGAGUGUCUAGAAACUUUGAUCAAAGAAACUUCAAAGGAAACGUCGCAUCUAAUCUAAAGUGGACAGUGUGGACCAGAGAGUUUUGAUUUUAACUAAAACAAGGUUUCUCAAUGUUACUGAUGCAGAAAUGGAAAACGGACUAAAUGAAACAAGGAACAGAAAUAUGAGUUUAACACCAAGGCCAAAGCAUUUUCUUGUUGUUACAAAUCUUGGCAGAUCAAAGUCGUGACCAGCUUUUGCUGCACAUCAUGGCGUUCACAAGUUCGGCUUUCAUGGAGACAACAAAUUCAGGACACUCCCUUCUGUCAGCAACAUAAGCAUCAUACGAAGUGGCGCGUGAGAUUGGUAUGGAGAGAAUGUCACGAGCUACUUGGGAGAGAAUUGGAUACUUUUGGCUUUCUUCUUUCCACCAUUCCAGUGCUUUGAAGUCUUUGUUCCACUUCAUAACCGGCUCUUUGAGAUAGGAACCGAGUUCUGAUUCACCAAACUCUCUUGAAGAUCCUUCAAACUUGAGAAACUCUUGAAAUAAAGCAAAAUCCUCGUAUGCAUCAGGCUUCUUCUCUUCCUUGUCCUUAUGUUCUUCUUCACCUUCUUCUUCCUCACAUUCUUCAUCACUUUCCUCUUCUUCACUUUCUUUUUCUUCUUCUUCUUCUUCUGAGCUAUAGAAAAUUGAGUCAACUGUAGCAUCCAAGCAUUCUGUUUCUGGAGGGAUACUACUAGCUGCAUAGUGAGCAUAUAGAUUGCGUAAGUAGUCCAAAACAGUUUCAGCUUUUGCACCUUCAUCAUCAACUUCAUUCUUUGAGCAGUAAAACUCAAGAUACUUUAUCUUGAAUCGAGGGUCUAAAACAGAAGCAGAUGCCAAAACCAGGAACAUAUCAUUCAUGUAUUUAUCAAACCUCUCCAAUAUCUCAUUAGCUUUGCAGAGGAAGUGAUCAUUAUCAGCAUUCGCAAGCUCUUGGUUCAACAUAUACUUCAGCUCCGCAAGAAGGUGGAAGUAGACAUUAGAUGUCAAAUACUCUCCCUCAAAAAGUUCCUUUGCCACUUUAUAAAUGCAACCAGCAAGUUUGCAAAAAGUUCGAAUCAUUAUCCAGUCUUCAUCACAUGGUAGGUCAUAUUCCUGGUAAUACUCAUCCUCAGCAAAUACUUUCUUAUCCUCCAUAUCUAAAGCUUCUUGAAGAUUACACAAAGAGACGUUCCAGUUGGUUGAUGUCAUUUUCCCCCAACCAACCAACACCCUGAUCUCCUCUAGUAGCCCGUCCAUAUCGCCAAACACAUCACCAGCCAUUAACCGAAAAAGAUCAGCGCAGCAGUAGAUGCGGAAGAAACAAGUAUCAAUCGGAUUCUUCUCUCUCUUUUCUAUCAAUUUUCUUAAACAAUCAAACUCCUCAUGACCAAGAUCACCGUAAUUAGACACUAGAAGAGCAGAGACCUUGUUCUCAAUCUCAUAAUCCACAAGAACAUUCUUGAUUCUGCAAACAGAACUUUAUCACCGCGUACAUACUCGAUAGGAUAGUACCCCAAGAUCCAUUUCCCGACCUUGGACGUAUGAUCAACAAAAUGGACACUGAUACAAACGAAAUCCUUGUGCCAAACAAGUCCAUUGUUAUAUUCAUCAUCAUAAGUCAACAGAUCAUAAGAGAUGCUUAGUUUCCCUUCAAAACCUUUGAGAAAUUUCUUGACCUUGUCUUCACGUUCUUUGUGGAUCUUGAGAACUUCUUUCUCGAGUUGAGAAACACCAAAAGGCAAAAACGGGCCCAAAUGCUGCAUAAAGGAGUGAAGACUCAUACGAGCAAUAUGUAUGAGUAACUCUGCUAAACCUCUCAGACAUUUUUUCUCUUUCUCUGCCUGUGAAGGAAUCCGAGUAUCCACCACAAUCACCUCAGAAUCUUCCAGUUUUUGUUUCUUCUUCGCAUCUAGAAAAUGCAGAUGAUGCAAGAUUAUCAAGAUCUCAUUAUGAAUUCAGAAUUUCAGAUCAGAGGAAAUUUAUAACACAAAGGUAGUAAAAAAACUAAAAUCGGUAGAUCCAUAUACAGAUUCAGAAACUGUAAACGAAGAAGAAACCCUAGAAAUUAAGGGUCAAGAGUAAUGAAAUUUGACCUGAACCCGAGGAGCGAUCACCAUCUUCCAUAGAAGCGUUGCUGUGUUUGCGGAGAGAAAUGUUAGGGUUUCGGAUUUGGGGAAGAAGAGGGAGACGAUUUGCUUUUGCUACAUAGUAAUGAUUUUAGGCGGGAACAGUGCUGAAGCUAUUAAUGUACUACGUGGCGUUUUGUUAUUGACUUCUUUUUCUCUCAAUGGGUUUAGUUAUCGAGAUAGUGAAAUAGGACGUUUCGUUUCUACUGUUAACUGUUAAUAGUUAUUAUGGGCCAUCACUUGAUAAGGCCUUUUAAGGAAGCCUUAUAUAUGUCAAUUUUUUUUUUUGUUGGUUUAUAUAAUUUUGUUUUUGGAAUUUUAACAUCAUACUAUACAUAAAUACAUAGCAACCAAGAAUUUUAUAAAUAAAUAAAUCUAUUUAUAAAAUUUGUUAAAAAAACCGAUAGGCUAAAGAGUGGUCUGAAAUCACAAUGAUAGUAUUAUAGAUGAAAAUGAACUCACCUUUAUUUAAGUGUUGGAUGUGUAAUUGCUUUGAAAAACAAAUAAUAAUAAUAAUUUCAUAGAUAUUUUAAAGUGCAUCUAAACAUUAGAUUAUACAAAUAUAAAAUAUCAAAUAUAUAUUUUUCAAAUAAAAUACAACAUAGAUAUUAGGCAAAUUUUCAAUAUUUAGAACUAUCUUCAACUAUUAUGAUAAUAAAUAUUUGACUUCUAUAAAAACAUAAUAUAUAUAUUACUAAACCAUGCAACGCGUGGGUCAUUUUCUAAUAGAUUAAAUGUAGAUAUUUAGAUUUUUAGGUGGGUGUGGAUCAGUUUUUUUUUUGGGUUCAAGUAUUUCAGGCAGAAAAUUUAGGAUCCGUUCGAAUUUAUGAGUUUUCGGUUCAGUUUAGGUAGGUGUUAGGUCUAGUUCGGUUUCCGACAACAAAAAUGUUUCAGUUUUAAUAAAAUUUAGUGUAUUUUAGAUAUUCUGAUUCUUGGUUUAACUUUGGUUUAGUUUGAUUUCGAUUUGGGUUUAGGCAUGAAGAUUCCAAAACAAUAAAACCAGAGCAACUCUUUUAGUUUUAUCGAUAACCCUGCAUAUACAUCCUUACUUCUUGCAUUUGCUAGUACUCAUAACGUAGAACUCUAAUUCGAAAGAUACGACGUUUCUACUUGAUAAAUUUUUACUUGUUGCUAAUCGUCGUUCAAAAGUGUUUUGUAUUCUGCUUUCUUGUGCAAUUACAAACAACAAUACCAUGAUUUAUCUCAUUUUCACUAACCUUCUUAGCUUUCUACUUUUCUUUUCUGUAUAUACGAAAACAUAUUUAUGAAAAAGUUGACGAUGAUAGACAACUUACUAAGCACUUAAGCAGUCACAUACAAUGUAUUUGAGUAAGAUCACCAACAUCAAAUAUCAAAAGUAAAGGAGAAUUCAGCUACUAUGUUUAUUACUUAAACAGAAUCAUCUUUGUUUUAAUAAUUCACUAAUCUCGUUUAAAAAUAUACUAGGUAACUAAAUUGACUAAUCACCUUUUCUUUUGUAUCAUGUAUAUGAACCAAACUUGGAACCUAACUGACGAAAAGUGGCCAAUAAUCCGCUGGUCCGUGUGCAAUCUCUUGAUGAAGUUGUUUAGGUACAUGCGUAUAUCAUCAAUACAUACCAAUGAUUCGUCUCAUUCUUAUUGGUCACCCAUAAUUCCUUUUUUUUUUUAUUGAACAAAAGAAAGUCUAUGUAAUUCAUGAAACAACAUGAACAUAUAUUGAUAGUACAGAUAUAUAGAUAUUUGUGUUAGAGAUCCAAUUACAAUGUCACAACUUUAGGGCGUUGAGAGACUUCAAUAAAGCGAUUUGAAACAUAGGGAGCUUUACAAGUUGCAAUGAAAUCAUAUUUUCACCAACCUUCUUAUACUCUUUUUACUGUUUUGUUUUCGGUAUUCAUAUGCUUACACAUGCUGUCUUUAUGAAAAAGUUACCGAGGAUUGAUAUCUCACAUUCUCACUAAGCAGCCGCCAUCAACUGAUCAACAACGUAUUUGAGAAAGAUCACCAAAAUGUAAUUUCAAAGGUAAAGAAUGAUACAUAAGAAUAAAAUAAUGGAAAAAAGCAAAGAAAAAAUUAAGCUACUCUGUUUAUCAACUAAACAGAAUCAACCAUAUUUUAGGAAUCACUAGAAAAAAAUACUAGGUCAUUGAAUUGAUUAAUAACCUGUUUUCCUCUGCAUGCAGGAUUACUUAAAUUACCUCACUGAAUUUGAACCAAACUUGGAACAUAGCUGACGAGAAAUGGACAACAACCUUUGGGUUUCCGUGCAAUCUUUUGAUGAACUUGUAUACCCUCUUUAGCAAAGUAAAUUCUAAUCUUCUUUUCAAUGUGACUAAUCUCUGAAGAACACACGACCAUUUAAUUCUCCUCGUCCACCAAGAAACUCAUGUAACUCAACGUCUCACUUGUUAACGGAAAUCUACCAAAAUCCACUACUAAGAAGUUGCUCCAAGACAAGUCUUUGUCCUCAUCGAUCUUAGUUUUGGUCACCCAUAUAUUCAUCUUUAAUGAAUCUGUAUCAAGCCUCUGUUGUAUCAAGGCAAGUUUCUCUUCUCUAACAACUGAUAGAAACACACUUCGAUAAUUAUUCUGAAAAGGAAGCGAUAGACGUCCGAAUCUCUCUGUUGUGAAAUCAAACUUGAGUAUGGAUUUGCUUUCUAGAUUUGAACCAAACCAAUAAGCAUUUCCCUUCAAAGUCACGCCAUCGGAACGUCUGAAACAAUCAGGAGAGAUCUCAUCAAGAAUUCUCCAUGAAUCAGAGUUGAACUCAUAGAUCUCAAACUUAGCAAGAGAAUAAGCUAGGGAGGUGAGAAGAUAGUCAUAAGCCAAGAUUUUGUAACUACGGCAAGAUUUGUUAAUGUUGCUGUUGUUUACAUAUCCUAGAACAUAACUGUUCAUGAGCAUAUUGGAUUGGAUCCACCUGGUUUGACCAGUACAAGGGUUCCAAACCACGACUCUACUAUUAUUGUCCUUGGUAGUGCACAAUAAUAAACCAUCACAGUGAGAGAUAAUACAACGUAUCUUAUCAUGUUCUGGAUCCUUUAGCUCGUAAAGUUUAACAUCGACCCCAAUGGAUGAAUCAAAGCUGUUUUGGAUUCCACGGAGAUUGAUGCUAUGGAUCAGAGUAUUCAUCUCUGUCACUGGAUAACCCCGAAGAUCAUUAAAGAUCACAUGUGUUGCUGCUUUGCUUUACCCAAGUUCUUCUUGACGAAUCUUGGAUCUCUAAAUAAAGUGUACCAUCGUUUGCAAGUAGUUUGCAAUUCUUUUAGAGAUGUGGCAGGAACCCUAGAGAGUAUUUCAGAUUCUAAAUCACUUGGAAGAUCAGCAAACAUCAUUGUUUGUUUAUCUCUUGUGAUUCUUGUCUGACCUCCCAAGGAAGAAAGCGACGGGAUUGCAAACCGAAAUUAGAAUUUUCACAUUUUAACAACUGGUAUAAAUAGAGAGGCUAUAUAAUAGUGCAUGCGCAAAUACGGCAUAGACAAAAGCUCCUCAAAAAGGAAAAGACAAAGAAAAAAAAUUAAGAUGGUGUAUCCAAAAGUGAUUUUAUAAUAACAAAUUUUCUGUUACUCAAUCAUGGAUUUUUUUUAAAAAAAAUCCAGUGUCAUUGAUUGAACUAUUGAUUUGUAUUUUAAAAUCCACUGUUAUUGAAAACAUUGUAUUAGAUUGUAAAUGACUAUAAGAGAAGAGAAACUAUAUCUUUAUUAUGACUUUAAUUAAGGUUAGAUUUGUUAUGAUCAAUAUAUUAUAUAGAAGAAGAGAAACUAUUUAUAUAUAUGUUUUCCUAUUAGACAAAUGAGACAAAUUUAUCUUAUCAUGAUUAUUGAAUCAAGGAUUUUAGUUAGUUUUAGAUUAAAGUGAAAAUAAGCAAAUAAGAAACUUAAAGUAAGGGAGUUAUUAAAAUUAUCUAAAUCCAUUAAUUGUUAUUGGGAACAAAAUUAAGUAUUGGAUUUUUAGUGAGUUGUGGUUAGACAAUUUUCCUAGUUAAAAAUACAAAUACCUAAAUUACAUGGUUUUAAGUGAAAUUUAGGUGGAAUUUACAACAAACUAGAUUUUAACCCGCGGUACACCGCGGAGCUAUAUUUUCUUAAAAAAAUCAAAAUGUAAUUUGUUUGAUAGAUUAUUUUGAUUGUUAAUUUUAGGAUUUCACCCGUGGUAUACGAUCUUUUAUAAAUAUCAACCCAAACCCAUCCCAUCAUAUUACCCGUCCCGUGAAAUUAAACAUUAUUUAGUUAUUUUUCUUUUUAAUAAUACUUUUAUUUAAAAGCUAUAUAAUUCAAGUCAAUUUAAAAAUUUCUUUUAAAUGGUUCCCAUAAAAUAUAUAUACAUAUAUAUUAAAUUUGUAUAGAGUUGAAAUAAUAUUAAUAUUACAAAUUUUUUAUAUAAUUUAAAUAUUAUAAAUAUUUUUAAAAAUAUGUAAUAUAUAUUUUUUGUUAUUGAAUAAGAGGAUAUUAUGUGUAAGAAAUGUAGAAAAUAAGAGUUUAAUAUUUUUAUUAUGGAGUCGCAAAAAAAAUCUUUUAUUUCUAUACAUGUUAUUCAUUUAUUAAUAAUAAAAGAAAACAAAUCCUUUAAAUUAGAUAUUAACUAAAAUAAACGCACCAUAAUUACUUAUUAAGUAACAACCAAUAAAUUUCACCAAAAAAUAGGUAACAACCAAUAAAUUCUAAACGCAGUAAUUAAAGAAUGAGAUAUUAAAAAAAAAUAUCAAAUAAGAUAUAAGAAUCUUAAAAUAAUUGAACAUCUAAAUAAUUUAAUUGUUAGUGUCGAUUUUAAUGCCUUCAUUAAUGUGGAUUUUUUUUUUACAGAGAAAUAUUUCCUAAAGAUUAUCACAUUAAUGACUCAGAAAAUUAAAGAAGAUAUGAAUUUAUGAUUCUCGAAAUCGUAUUGGUAAUAUCUUUAAGUAAUAUUUUUCAAAUUUAAAUAAUUAAUGCCAAUGGUAUUCAUCCGUAAAUAAGGUUCAACUCCAGGAUUUAUUUGCUAAAAGUCAUUCAAAAAUGUAUAUAUAGAUUAUAACAAUUUCUUGAUUACUCAGGUUCCUCUCAGAAAUUUCUUAACAACGUCUCACGCCAUCGGAAUGUAUGAAACAAAUAAUCAAGUUCUUCUUGACAAAUCUUGGAUCUCUAAAUAAAGUGUACCAUUGUUUGCCAGUAGUUUGCAAUUCUUUUAGAGAUGUGGCAGGAACCCUAGAGAGUAUUUAAGAUUCUACUUCACUUGGAAGAUCAGCAAACAUCAUUGUUUAUUUAUCUCUUGUGAUUUCUCGUCUGACCUCCUUAUGAAGAAAGAGACAGGACUGCAAAUAGAAAUUAGGGUUUAACAAUUGGUAUAAAUAGAGAAGAGAGGGUAUAAUAGUCAAUUAGCAUAAGACUGCACUAAUAAUAGUUGCACUUGCAUUUAGAGAAAAGCCUCUCGAAGGAAACGUGAGACAGUGUAAGGAGGAUGGUCUCCAAAAUUUCUCUAUUAUCAUAGUAAGAUUAUGAAUUUCUGUUAAAACUUCAAAGUCUACUUUCUCAUGUCCAGGUUUCUUGCUAAUCAAGUUUAGGGGUUUUUUUCGCGUUUGGUUUCUCAAAUUUCAUUUGAUUUUUUAUUUGCGUUUGUUGAAUUCUCUUUCAAUUUCUCUUCGUUACGGAGUUUGCAAUGCAUGAUUUCACUGGGAUUGACCAAUGUUCCGAAAUUACUCGAGGAAGUGCACUGUGGAUUCUUCACAGUCAAGGAAUAUUUCUGCUACAAGAAACAGAUUUCAAACUUCUCAGAUAAGAUUUUUGGAAUUCUGUAGAAACUUCAUUCAAGCAUUGUGAUCUCUGUCAUUCUGUAAGAAACCUUAAAAGCAAAUUCCACAUGCGGUGAAUGUGGGUGUUUUCACUAUAUUCCUUUUGCGUUAAUCUGAUAUCUAUUAGGGAAUUUAUCCGAUCCUCAAAGUCAAAUGAACUACAAAAUAAUUGUGUUUGCUUUACCCUCAUAACCAAAGUAAGCCUUGUAAAUCUCUAACAUAUGUUGAAGUGAUUCAAUCUUCCUUUACUCCACCACAUAAUUUGGAUAUGCGUUGGAUUUGAGUUUCGCGUCAGAUUGCGUUAAGGCUUCUUGCCAAGUUUGCCUCCCGUCCGUGCCUGUAAAACAUAGCACACAUAAAGAGAUACAGUUAAAGAGAAUUCUAACCCGAGACCAUAUACCGUAACGAUAUAUACAUAUAAAAAGCUCUCUGGUUUGCAUGACAAGAACACUAUCCUUAUGUGCUAUGUAAGCAUUAUAUUGUAAGACUAAAUAACAGGGUAUGAAUCAACAUCCACAAUCCUUUAGUUUAGUUUCUCUAUAUGGGAAAUGCUCUGUUAUUCUCAAUCAACAUCCACAAUCCAAAUAGAAAUUAUUUGAGUAAGGUCAUUAGAUCACCAAUCCAAAUUCAAAAGCAAAGAAUUAAGAGGAACAAAGUUUGACUAAUCUCGUUCAAAGAAACAUGACCACAAGGAAAAAACUAAGGUGAUUCAUUUGAGUUACCUCCUUUUCUCUCAUUUUCUUUUUGCCUUUGGGUGAGGUUUUCUGAAUGUGAACCAAAUUUGGAGCAUAACUGACGAAACAUGGCCAGUUGAGAAUUGAUCCCUUUGUAACCUCUUUAUAGACUUCUUUAUAAAGAUCCACUCCAACAAUGUAGAUUUUGGUCCUUUCUUCAUCUUCCAUGUCUGUAUAACAACACACUGCCACUUUACUCUCCUCGUCCAAGAAGAAACUUAUCACGCUGUUCACAUAUGGUAACGUAAAUUUAUCAAAAUCCACUACUAGGAACUGGCUCCAUGACAAGUCUUUGGCCUCAUCAAACUUAUUGGUCACCCAUAUCUUCAUCUCUGAUGAAUUUCUAUGAAGAUUCUGAUUCAACAAGGAGAGUUUUUCUUCCCUAACAAGUGAUAGAACCGCGAUAUCUUCAUAAUCGAAACUCUGAUACGGAAGAGGAAAACGCCCAAAUCUCUCUGUUGUGAAAUCGAAAUACAUCAAGAAAAAACCAGUUUCUUUGUCUCCACCAAUCCAAAAAGUAUCUCCAUUCAAAGAAACGCCAGCAGAAAAUAUGCCCCAAAUCAUAUCAUCAUCAAGAACCCUCCAAGAAUCAGAUCCAAAAUCAUAGAUUUCAAACACAGCAACCCGGAGUUUCUGAUCGUUGUAAUAACGGCAAAGCCUCAAGAUUUUGUAGCUAUGGCAAGAAAAUUUGCUGUUUACGUAUCCAAGAGCAUAGCUAUCAUCACGCCUGUAACACGUUCUAGGUUUGAUACACCUUGUUUGACCCGUACAUGGGUUCCAAACAACAAGUCUAUUGUUCCCAUUUGUGGUGCUGCUGAUGCAUAAUACCAAACCCUCGCACUGAAAGAUUGUAGAUACUUUGACAUCUUUCGAAUCGCUUAGCCUGAUGAGUUUACCUGAGAACUCCAUAGAUGCAUCAACUCCGUCGUGAAUUCCAUGGCGAUUGACGCUAAUUGAGUGAACCCUAUGAUUCAUCAGUAACAUCACUUCCCUCGCUGAUUUACCCAAGUUCUGCUUCACGAAUCUCGGAUCUCUGAACAAAGCGUGCCAUCUUUUACAAGUAGUUUUCAGUUUCGUUAGAGACUUCGCCGGAACCCUGCAGAGUAUUUCCGAUUCCAAAUCGUCUGGAAGAUUGGGAAUCUUCAUCAUCGUCCUUUUUCGUCAUUUCUCAUCUCAGCUCUCGACGGUUAUGAAGAUAUAUAUUGGGCUUUUAUUAUUAUAAGCCCAGUUUCGUUUUUCUUGGUUUGUAAGUUACGACGAAACGACAACGUUUCAUUCUCUGGGCCAAAUUAAUUUGGUAUUUUAGUGGCUGCUAAUUUCCACAUUUGAAUUUGUAAUAGUAAUUAUUAUAUGAAGACUUAUGUUCAGGCUAUUAUAUUCGUGUAUAUUCUGAUCAGUCCAAAAACAAUAAACUACUGACAAGUAAUCUCAAAACCAAUAGUAAUGAAAUUAACUAAUCAAGAUCCAUCGACUAAAUUUGAUUUUGAUUUGAUUUAGAGUCCCCAAAACUAAUAAUAUCAAGUCAUCUAAUUGAUACUCAUAAAAUAGUCUAUUGAUAUAAAAUGAUAGAGAAGAGAAGUCACACCGCAAGAUUUGAAUCUGUUUUUGAUUUAAGUUUUACUUCGUUUUCUUCAUGAGCACACACUGUCAGGUUGAUCUGUUCAAACUCUUCUUACAACUUUUGUCAACUGCCAGGUUCGCCGUGCCUGUAUAACAUCACACACACACACGGGUCCAGUUAAAGAUAACUCUAACCAGAAACCAAAUACAAUAAAGAUAUAUAUGUGUAAAUUGUAAUCUAUAGCUCUAUAUGUGUAAAUUGUAAUCUAUAGCUCUCAGGUUUGCAUGACAAGAACACUAUCGUUAUGGGCUGAUUGCUAUGGUAAGCAUUAUAUUGUAAGACUAAGGAACAUGGUAUGAAUUAUGGAGGCUUAUAUGCUUUAGUUUAGUUUCUCUCUAUAUAUGGGCAAUGCUCUGCUAUUCUCAAUAAUCAUCCAAUCUCAACAGAAAUUAUUUGAGUAAGUUCAUUAGAUCACCAUCAUUCCAAUUUCAAAAGCAAACAAGAGAAACAAAGAUAAGUUCUAUCAGCUAAAUAGAAACAACCCCUACAAUGAUUGACUAAUCUCGUUGAAAGGAACAUGACCAAAAGGAAAAGCAAGAAAAAAAAUAAGGUAAUUCAUUUGACUAACCUCUUGCCGUUUCCUUUUCUUUUGCACUUCGACUAUGGGUGCAUCUUUCUCAAUGUGAACCAGAUUUGGAAUAUAAUUGACGAGAAAUGGCUGAUUGGGCCAUGUUUCUGUUGAAACGUCUUCAUAGACGAAUUUAUCUACAUCUUCUCCAACAAUGUAGAUUCUGCUCCUAUCUUCAUCUUCCGUGUCUGGAUCAGAACACACUGCAUCAGAACACACAGCCACUCUUUUCUCCUCGUCCAACAGGAAACUUGUUACACUCGGUAGAUUAUCGUCAGCAAGAUCCACAACUAAAAAGUUGCUCCACGACAAGUCUUUGGCCUCACCGAUCUUAGUAUCGGUCACCCAUAUCUUCAUCUUAGAAUAUUUCAAACUAUGAACCCUAUGGUCGAACUGCUGUAACAAAGCAAGUUUCUCUUCUCCAACAACAGCCACAAGCACACUCUUAUUAUCAUGAUCCCUCUGAAAGGUAAGGGGCAGACAUAGACGUGCAAAUGUCUCCGUUGCGAAAUCAAACCUGAGUAUGAAUUUACCCGUGGGGGUUUCUUUUUCAUCUGAAGCAUACCAGUAAGCACUUUCCUUCAAAGUCACACCAUUACAUUCUAUGAAGCAAUUUGCAGUGACGCCAUCAAGACCCCUCCAUGAACUAGAACUAAAAUCAUAGAUUUCAGACUCAGGCAUUUCGUGAUUGUCAUCGCAACACCUCAAGAUUUUGUAGCUAUCUAAAGAAGAUGAUUUGUUGUUACCACAUCCUAGAGCAUAUAUAUCAUCACUAUUGUAACAAAUUCUAGGUUUGAUCCAUGUGAUUUGACCAGUACAGGGAUUCCAAACUACGAGUCUACAGUCCAUUGUGGCGCAUAAUAAUAAACCGUCCAAGUGAUGGAUUCGAAAUAUUUCCAAAUCUGAAUCUUCGGGUAUGGUGAGUGUACCUGUAAACCCCAUGGAUGCCCAACGGCCUUUUGGAAUUCCAUGGAUUUCUACGCUAAUCGAAUAAACCUCAUGAUUCAUCAGAAACACCAUCUCACUUGCUGCUUUACCCAACUUCUUCUCGACGAAAUCCGGAUCUUAGAAUAAACCGUACCAUCGCUUGCAAGUGGUUUUCAGUUUCGGUAGAGACUUGAUCGGAAGCCUAGAGAGUAUUUCCGAUAACAAAUCGUAUGGAAGAUCGGAAAUCAUCGUCAUCAUCUCGUGGUUUCUGACUUCACUCUCUCGACGAAGAAAGACGGCAAAUGGGAAAUUAGGAAGAUACCUAUAUUGUUUCUUAUUGGGCUUUUAUUACUUUUAGCCCAAUAUCGUUUUUCUAGGUUCAUAGGUUAAGAAACGACCGCGUUUUAUUAUGAGUUUUUUUUCUCCAGUGAGCUUUUUGCAAAAUAUGUGUAGCUCAAGGUCAAGAAUUCAGAUUGGUAUUUGAAUACCUGCUUAUUUAAUUUCUAUACAAAAUUUUGAACCCUGUAACAGUCAUUAUUCUGAAAACUUAUGCUCAUGUUAUUACAUUAGUAUGUAUAUUAUUAAACGGAUAAACGUUAAUACUGUAUUUUCUGUUUUUGAUCUUUACCAAAAACAAUAGUAAUAUUUUAGAUGAAUUGUUGACAAAUAAUAUCAAAAACCAAUAAAUGAUCAUGACUGAUCGACUAACAUGUGAUUUUUGAUUAGAGCUCAGAGGUCAUCAAUCCAAUAAGACAAAAAUACCAAAAACAACGAUAACAAGUUUGAUCUAAUCAAAUCUUUCAAAAUAGUCUUCGAGACAAAGGACAGAGAAGUCACUGCGAGGAGCCAUUCCACAAAAUUAAAGUACCUGAAAGGAUAAAGAAUAACAUCAAGGAAACACAACAUGAAAUUCAGGUUCGAACCUUUACUUUGGUGACCAGAAACAAGGUUUGGUCAAGAAACUUCACACAUCAAUACUAGUUACUGAUAAACAGAGUUAUUGAGUUUUCAUGAAGGCCCUAGCAUUUAAUGUUCUUACCAAAAUGGCCAUAUCAAAGUCGUGGCCAGCUCUCGCAGCACAUCAUGGCGUUCACAAGUUUGGCCUCCAUGGAGACGAUAAAAUCAGGACACUCUCUCUUGUCAGCAACAUAAGCACGGUGCGAUGUUCCACGAGAGAUCGGAAUGGAGAGAAUGUCACGAGCUACUCUGGAGAGGAUCGGGUACUUUGAGUUCUCUUCUCUCCACCAUUCCAAUGCAUUGAAGUCCUUUUUCCACUCCAUAACUGGUUCCUUGAGAUAUGAAUCAAGUUCUGAUUCUUGAAACUCCCUUGAAGAUCCUUCAAACUUGAGAAAUUCUUGAAACAAAACAAAAUCCUUGUAUCCAUCAGGUUUCUUCUCCUCCUCUUCUUCUUCAUCUUCUUCGUCGAACAAAUAUUUAAACAAACCACUGGAAUUUGGGUUCAUCGAAGCAUCGGGACAUUUUGGUAGUGGACUGAUAUCACUAGCUGCAUAGCGAGCAUAUAGACCGCGUAAAUAGUCCACAACAGUUUCAGCUUUUAAACCUUCAUUGCUAACUUCAUUCUUUGAACAGUAAAACUCAAGAUACUUCAUCUUGAACCGAGGGUCUAAAACAGAAGCAGUUGCCAAAACCAGGAACAUAUCAUUCCAGUACUUAUCAAACCUCUCCAAUAUCUCCUUGGCUUUGCAGAGGAAGUAAUCAUUAUCACCGUUCUUGAGCUCUUCGUUUAGCAUGACUUUUAGCUCUGCAAGAAGGUGGAAGUAGACAUUAGAUGUUGGAUACUCUCCGUCAAAAAGCUCCUUUGCAACUUUAUAAAUGCAACCCGCGAGUUUGCAAAAAGUUUUAAUCUUGAUCCAUUCUUCAUCAGAUGGUUGUUCAUAAUCCUGGUAAUCUUCUUCCUCUUCAAAUACAUUCUUGGCUUCCAUAUCAACAGCUUUUUGCAGAUUAUACAACGUGACAUCCCAAUUGGUCGGUACCAUUCUUCCCCAACCAACCAACAUCCGAACACGUUCCAUCAGCCAUAUGUUUAUGUCCUUAAACAUAUCAUCAACCAUUAACCGGAAAAUGUCAGAGCAGCAAUAGAUGAGGAACACACGAGAGUCGAUCGGAUUUUUCCCUUUCUCUUCUAUCCAUUUUCUAAAAGCAUCAAACGCUUCAACACCAAGAUCACCAUAGUUAGGCAUUAGAAGAGUCGAGACCUUGCUCUCAAUCUCAUAAUCCAGAAUAACAUUCUUAAUAGAAUCAACAUAAAUGUCCUUCACACGCAAUGACUCACGAGGAUGAUACCCCAAGAUCCAUUUCUUCAUCUUCCAGUUUUCAUCAGCGAAAUAAGCGCUAAUACCGAUGAAAUCCGCGUUCAAAAUAGGUCCAUCAAUGUCAUCACUUGUCCAAAACCAUUCAUAACAGAGUGUUAAUUUCCCUUGUCCAUCCUUGAGCAUUUUCUUGACCUUGUCUUUACCUUCUUCGUGCAUCUCCAGAACAGCGGUCUUGAGUUUAGAAGUAUCGAGAGAAAAAUCCGGGCACACGGUAUGCACCAUUUCAGUAAUGACCGAGUUCUCGACAGAAGGAUUAAUCCCAUAACCAAUAGCAACCUUAGCCAUAGAUCUAUAACGACGUUUCUCCUCCUCCAGAGCCCCAUCAUCUACAGAAUCAUCCAGCUUUUGUUUCCUCUUCAUAUCUAAAAAAUCACCAAUGAUGCAAUAGUGUUAAGACAUAGAGACUGUAAAUUCAAUCCAUAUAACCGAAAAAGAUACAGAGAGGUAGAUUCACAGACACAACAUUGUAAAGUUAACUAACGAAAGGGACAGAGAUCAGAGUAAACCCUAGAAAUUGGGAUAAAAUCCAUAGAAAGAAUCAGACUUUAGCUCUCUGGAGAAGAAAUAAGAACCUGAGCUGGAGCCGGAGGCGAGAUCAGCAUCGUCCAUAGCAACCUUGUUUGGGGGAGACGAACGGUACGGAGAGAGAAUUAGGGUUUUUCGAAAUAAAGGAAGGAGAGACGAUUCCAGUUCUCAAUGUUGCAUCUAUAUCUAGGCUAGGAUCUUAAUUAUGAUUUUGGCGGGAAAUUGCUACUAGAGUCUGAAGCUAUUAUCCACGUAGGAUAUUAUUUAUUUCUCUCUGGGACGAUAAAAUCUACGGUUGGUAACGCAAACAAUGGACGGAUGAGAUUGCUAAGAAUAUUUAACUUGAAAAAUAUAAAUGGGCCACUACUUAUUGGGCUGUUUGUAAAAAUAAACUCUAAAACGACGCCGUUUAUUUAGUAUGCUUUACCUCAGAAUCUGAAAAUCGGAAGCUGGGCAGCUGGUCACCGUUGCUUCUCUCCGUCUCUCUCAGGUAAGUGGAUCUAUUUGUUGUUCUCUCCCUCUCGGUCUCUGUUUGGUUUGAAAUGUUUGAAAAUUGAUUUCAUAUAUUUCUUCUCUUUAAUUCAAUCUCUCUGCCUUCUCGAUCAACUCUAUUUGAGGUGUGGACUAGAAAGACUAAGCUUUGCUCUUCUCCAGUGACUGCAGCUUUAGGGUUUAGGGUUUUUGGUUUCUGUGUAUUUCAUCGUCUCUUCUGAUUGAUCUUGUGUUCUACGUUAUAGGAAAAGAAACUAUAAUUGAAGAAGCUCGAGAUCUCCUGUGAAAAUGCCGUCUUUGCAAACUUCUCUGCCUCCUGAACUCGCUAACAAUGUGGUUAGGGUCAGUAUCAAUGUUCACAUUAAACUUAUGAUUUGUUUUUUCGUUCCUUGAUGCUAUUUCACUGAUCUAUUUGUCUAUUGGCAGUUGUACCGAGAAUGUCUUCGUAGAGCUAAAUUUAUUGGUAAGCAGGUGAGGUUUAUAACUAAAUUGUUUCUCUGAGCUUUGGAUAUGAACCUGCUUUGUCAGACUCAGAAUCUCUGUUGCUUUCGAUGGGAUUGUGUUUGGUUUGAUUGCCAUUCUUGGUUGUUGUAUAAUGUUCGGAUAAAGAUUUAUCACUGUUCUUUAUCUUCACAUGUUUUUACUUUUAGUAACCUAGUAAUUCAGAGAAAAACGUAGAGAGAUUUUCAUUUAGAGUCAGGAUGCUUUGUCUUUGUGUCUUCACCCAGAGCUCGUGUCUAUCUAUACCUUUUUGAGUCGAUUCUCUUGACCCACUUGAGGUAGUUAUACCCGAAUGCAGUUUGAUUGAAGCUGAAAUAUGUAUUGAUGUGAUGCAAGCAGAAAAGGUUGAGAUUGAUAUUAUCAUCAUUUGUGUUUUGAUUCAUCGAGAAAGAGAUUUAUGCCUUUCUGUUAGGAUUAUAGAUAUCCUGGAGUGGAGGAGAUUUAGGAAGUGAACUUUGAUAUGUUUACACGUUUGUGUCUUGCAGCAACACAACACUGAGCUAGUGGUUGGUAUGGUGAGGCAACAAUUUAAGAAACACAUGAAUGAGACAGACCCUGAGAAGAUUCAGAAGCUUAAAGAUGAGUGAGUUUUCUUUUUUUUCUCCCCAAGCUCUUAGAUCAGAUGUAAAACUUGUUCGUUGAGGCAUUUUACUGCAAAAGAUGAUGUUUCACACAAGCACACAUACAGCUGCUUGAGAUCAUGUAUUUGAAAAGUUUGGAAUGACUCAACAUUCUCUGAUACUGGUAUUUGGCAGUGCUGCUCGGGGACUCAUCAAUCACAUGUUGUUUGAGUCAGCAAAGCUGACAGGAGGCAAGGUUAGCCAGAGAUCCUGAUGCAGUCUGGUUGCAGACUCUCCCAUUGUUAUUCUCUCUCUAUCUCUCUAGUUCAAUGCUUGUAGGCUAAUAAUGCAACUAAGUUGGCUUUAAUAAAAGACUUGAUCGAGUAGCUUCAGUGACUCGGCAUUGAUGAUUUUCUUGUGCAAUCAGUGAAGGGGUUCUCUACUUCAAAUCAUACAGUUAUUUGGCUCUUGCUUAGAUUCGUUAACAAUUGAUUUUGACGAAGAUGAGUAUGAAUUAAGCAACCAACAACAUUGAGCUAAAAAAGAAAGAAUUCAGAAAAAGUGCUAAUAUUAUACAUAAACGUGAACAAGAUACAACAACAUUGACCACAUGAUUCACUGCUUAUCUCUCCGAGAAGUAGCAUAGCAAAAAAGUAAAAAGAAGAUAUCCCACGUUUCUAUGCGGAUUAUGUUACACAGACUGAUGCAUUAAAGCAUCAAUUGCAAAAAAAAAACAGUUCCUGUUGAAAGUCUCCACGAUUGACUGAAUUACCUUCAGCAAAGACUCCUGAGAUUAGACAAGUCUCUAGGUUCUUGAGGACGUAAAGGAGGCUCUUGGUCAACUUAACUCCAUCAUAUCUCUGACACGUUUCGUGACACGAGCAAACUCGUUAAACAACGUAUAAUCAAAUUCACAGGCUUCGCUAUUUGAGAUUUCUUUAGAGAGAUCAAGUGGUGUUGAUGGGUUCUGACAAAUGACAAAGUCAAAUCCCCCAAAUCUCUGCACCAAAGUUUCCAGCUUCUUUGUCGUUAAGCUUUUGAUUUCUUCAAUUUGCACUAGCUCACCGGUUUGUCCAGAAGUCUGCCACCAUCUUUUCAGUAUGUUACGGCUCAAUCCACAGGACUCUACAGAGACUACGCCUUUUAGAUGGAUUCCAAGGCGGUCCAAUGCAAUUUCCGCACCACCAAUCCCGCUAAAGAGUGAUAAAACUGUUAAACCUUCGGGAAACAUAGACUUGAGUACAGAGAAAUGGUAACCCAAUGUGUCUGUUUGGAAGCAGUAAUCAAACAACUUCAAUCUUUCAGCCAAUCUUCCACCACCGAUGUUUGUGUGGUUCGUUGGAUAUCCCAUAAUGCACUCUAAAUGUUCAGGCUCCACAGGUGAGAGGAUGUUUGGAGCAAUCCAAAUGAGAUUGGAUGUGUGACAAUGUCGAAGUAUUAGAGUCUGGUCUUGUUGAGUAGGCUUUCCCCUGCAUUCAGCUAUACGGCGUCCAAUUCGUUCACAGAGAAGAGUCACAUCUUUCCUAUUAGAACACGUGCCGCUAUUGAAAUGUUUUCUGAUAUCCCAUUGCGGCCACCAACUCUUCAUUUGUGGCAUUGCGUCUUGUAUAGUUAACCGAGGCUUUGGGAGGAUAUUGAACCUGUUAACAGUGGGAAGAUUGUGCAGGUACCCUUCUGUCCUAUGGAGCGCUGAACACAACCGAGUAUCUACAUGCUCGGGGUGAAUUCCGAACAAGAAACCCGAGAUCUUCGACCACCAGCUAGGAGAUAGUUCACCUAACUGUCCAUAGAAGAAAUAAGGUCGUUUGGCUACAUUUGGGCCAAGACUCUGGGACAAACGUGGCUGCAUUACACUGGGAAAUUCAUAUGUGUUAUCUUUCCACUCAUCUUGCAUCCAUGGGGUUUCCAUAAACGAACUUGAGUCACCCAUAUAUUCGGGUCUUAACCGUUUUCCUCUGUCAUCGUGGUCAGUGUAUUCCUCUGGAUAGGCAUUCUCAUCCUCAUCUUUUGGUCGCUUACCCUUCGAGGUCUCUCCCACAUUGGCAGUGGCAGGGAAAGGAAAAGAGUCAAUACCAGGAUCUGGUUUUAUAUUAGCAGUGCCACUCGACGAACCCCCACAACCAUCCUCUUUCUGGGCACCAACACCAACAAAUCUCCAACUCUUUGAAAGACAUGCACGAUUCGCUGCAGGAGCCGCCGCUGAAACUUUCUACAGUGACACCAAAUAUUAUUGAGUAAAACUCCAACAAUUUCUUAUUUUAAUUAAGAGAAGAGUGUGAGAUGGUUUCGGAGCAGUAGCAGCAGCAAAAUCUCUAGUUUCAGCACUUCACUUCACAAGUGCAUCAUUUGAGGUCAAGAAAAAAUUAAUUAAAAACAUUAGAGUGAACAUACCUUUUCUAUAUCUUCAAGGUCAUCAUGGCAUACAGCAGGAAAUUCACCAGUAACAAUUGACUCAGCAAGGACAGAAAUCUGACCUUCUGUACCUGAAGAGGUGCACAAUAGAUUAUAUACGUUUGCAAAAUAAAUGAUAGGAUUUCUUUCACCCUAAAAGUAUCAUAAUCAGCCCCAACAACAUAAACAAGAUACGUUUCAUGUCUAUAUUGUUUCUUUCAGACAUAUAACAGUCUGGGAUGAACAGAUAAGUGCCUCAGUUGCUCACCUAUCUUCUCAAUUGCCAUUGAAAUUUCAUCAUUGGAGAAUCCCAUUUCCAGUAAAUGCAAAGUCUUGUCCAUUGUUUCAAACAACUGUUCGUUGGGAACCUGAAUUUAAAGCACAAAACAAAUAUUAGAGGUAAUAAGGUAAUAACAACAUGAACAAUAAAGAAUGAACACAAAAGAAAGGUAGUGGAAUCUACUAAGGUGAACCAACAAAAGGACAUAAAAGAAGAAAAAAGCAUUGACAAUAAUAUCAACAGCUAAUGUCAAAAGCACCAAAGACCUCAGGUCCCCGAGCAGUAACUGGAGUGACAUCUUCAUCUUCUUCAUUGAUCUCAGCACCAUCAAGUGAGUCUUCAGAUUCUUCUGCAUACUUUUCAGCUAAUUGAGCAGCAACAAUGAAGUCCACCAUCUCAUCAAUUGGCGCGUCUUUACCUAGCACGCAGAACAAACAAUCAUGAAGAAAGGCUUUGGCGAUAGGCAAAAUGACAGCUGCUAUCUGCAUGCUAAGUUUCUAUAUAGCUUUGAAUAGUAUAAGUAUCAAUCUUUUAGAAACUAUAUACAAUUUUUUAAUACAGUCACAGGGGAUGGAUUUUCCACUUUAGCAUUAAUAAACAGCUUCAUAAUGUUAUUUCUCUUUUCAGAGAGUUAUACUAUGACCUAUAAGCCUCCUUAGUUUUGCCUAUAUUAAAUGUCAUACAAUCAGAAGUUCCAGUAUGAAGAGAUGGUUAAUCUAUAAGGACAAAAAAUAUAUAUCGUGCAAUAGUGAGAAAUUUGGUCUUGCAAUGUACACGAGGUCUAAUCACUCAAAAAUAACCUGAAAAGAAGAAACUCUAAUAUGUAAAACCAUGAAUAGACAAGGACAAAAUGGUGUAACUUUGUAAGAUGUUUCAAAUUUUGAAUGGAAAGCCAAAGUCAUUGUGAAUAGAUUACCAAGCCUAUCCAGUGCAAAGUCAACUAGAUUUUCUGGAAACUGCAUUGUUAGUAACGCAAUCCUUCUACCAUCAGUUUCGUAUUCAAUAUCAGGUUCCUGUCAAAGAAAAGCAAGAAACAGUAAGAAAUUACACAGAAUGAAAUACAAGACAUGUGGAUCACACAUUAUGCGUUUACCGGUUUGGGUUCCAUUAGCCCAUGAAAGCUGGUUCCAGGUUGUUCUGUUACAGUACUCUUAGUGAGAAUCUCUAAUAGAAAUUCAAUAUCAUCUUCACCUGGAUGUGAAAAGGCAAACUCAGUAAUCAUACACCCCAAAUGAAAGUUAGCAUCCAUAGGUAGUCUUUCGUAAAAUAACAAUUUUUUACAGGAAACUUUAGAAUACCAUUUUCAUCAAUUGCUUUCUGAACAAGAGUUGGGCAAAAUCCCAUCUCAAUCAGCAAUGACUUAACAUUGCUUCCAGAAGAACUAGCAGCAUUGUCCUGCACAUCAAGUAGGAAAACAAUAAGAACCUUCCUAAACCACUACUUGUUCUUUUACCUGUUGAUUAGUAUUUUUCAAAGAUGUUCACAAACAACAAAAAAAAAACAUUUUAAAGUAAAAAAUGUAGAGACAGUGGAUGUUUAAGAAUCGAAGCCAUUUGUGUCCUCUAGGUAAAGAAAGGUUAACAAACAUACACCAAUCUGGUGAGGGUAAGAGGUGUCGCAGGGCAAUUCAUAGUCCAAAGUCUCUGGUUUUGGAAACAGUAUCUGCUCAUUCCUUUCAUGAUUAGAGGAACCUCCAUUUCCAUUUCGUCUACGCAAAUCACCCUGCAAAAUUCCAGACAAAAAAAAAACAAAUUGAAAAAGUGAUUCCAGGCAAAAAGAUAACAACAGUCCCAAAGUAGCCAAAUUCCAUACCAUUUGAAUUAAAAAUCACACACAAAAUCUCACGAGCAAAGUCCACAAACUCCAAAGCAAGAAAAUUUCACAUGAAAGCCUGCAGAUAGAUACCAGAGAGAUUAUUAUGUCAGUGUCCCCAAAUGAAAAAAAAAAAGAAUUGAGCAGCUACUUGCUCAUCGAUGAUUUGUCCCAUAAACGGCAAGGGAGAAGAUGAAAUCAAUAAAGCCCCCAAAAUAGAACACACCUCGAACUAAGAGAUUAAACCACAAGUGAAAAAGUAAUUCCUGAGAUUGCGACAAAGAGACCCACAGAGAGCGAGAGAUAGAGAGAGAGGAAGAAGGUGCAUGCCUGUGCGGUGGUCCGCGUCGGAGGAAAAGCUAGCUAACCAAGUAAGAAGAACUUGAUCGCACUGUACCGUGGCGCGUGGACUACACUGCUGAGACUAUGGUCAAAUCUGAAACGAAUUUAUUCAUUCCUUUUGAGCAGUCCGGUAGAUCGAGCGCUUAAGUAAAACGAACGGUCCAGAUCAUAGAGUUUGGAACAUAAGAUUAUAACUAGUUUCUGUUUAAUAUUUCAAGUUUUUAGAUAAUUUUUCAAAAUUUGUAAUGUUUUUAAGAUGCUAAAAUUUGUAUAAGAUUUAUGUUUAUACUUAAGAGUUAAAUUAAUUAUAUUAGAUACGCAAGCAACGUGUAAAAACAUCAAAACUUGAUGAAAAAACCCAAGGAAACCUACUCUCCCAAUUCCCAAACUUUGAGAAUGAUUGAAUUUUACAGAGAUAAUUAAUAGAAUUCGAGUUAUUUCUCAACAAAGAUUAUGUUUUCUUCGCCGAGUCUUGUUGAGUUUGUACUACUGUUAAUGCAAGAUUUUUAAAAUAUUUGUUUUGACUAAUCUUCAUCAUCAUCAAAGAACAUGACAAAAGAACAAAGCAAGAACUAAAUCAUAGAUUUUGUAAAUGGACUAAUUAAUGACAUGGUUUCUUCCUUUUGUUUCGUGCAUGGUGUAAGUUGCUAGAUUUGCACUGAACUCGGAACAUAAGAGCACACAAGUGGAAAACAAUAUUUGUGGACAGAUUCUCCGAGAUCCGCUUCUUUGUCGUAUCCAUCCACUCCAACGAUGUUGGCUGUGUUGCGACUGGACUUAUGAACCCAUUUGCCUUUUAUCAAAAACCACGGCCACAUUCUCCUCCUCAUCAACGAAGAAAGUCGCAGCUCUAGCCGGGUCUAGUCUUAUCUCAUCUACUAUUAAAAACAAUUUGCUCCAUGACACCGCAUUUGGCUCAAUCUUAUUACUAAUCCAUAUCUCUGUCCAAUGUUGAUGCUGACCUAACACUGCAAGUUGCUCUUCUCCAACAAUAGAUAGAGUUAUAGUAUCUUCUCUAAAAGGGUACUUAAAUGGCAGAGGCAGAUGCGGUCCAAAUUUCUCUGUUGUAAAAUCAAAACAUAGUAAAAAACCAGGGAUCUCUUCUAAUAUCUCAAAAUGUAAGCUCUUCUGUCUUAGAGAAGACCAGUAAGUAUUACCCUUGAGAGACACGCCAUGUUGAUCUAUAGUCCAGUCGGGGGUGACCUCAACAUCCUUCCAUGAAUUAGAGUUUAAAUUGUAGAUUUCAAACUCCCAUAGUGGGUGUAAAUCUCAAAAUUUUGUGGCUACGAUAAGAGUUGUUAUUCAUCUCGUACCCGAGAGCAUACUUGUAGUAGUCCCAUCUCUUGUAAGAAAUUCGAGGUUGGACCCUUCUUGUUUGCCCAGAAUAAGGGUUCCAAACCACAAGCCUAGAGUUGUCAUUGGUGAUGCAUAACAACAAACCAUCACAGUGACAAACUUGAGAUAUACUUAUUCGAUCAGCAACGUUUAGGCUAAUAAGUUUACCUUUCUGCUUUAUAGAUGAUUCAACGUUGUCAUCUUUGUGAAUUUCAUCUAGAUUGACGCUCAUCAGAUAAACCUUAUAAUUCAUCGUCAUGAUCGCAUGAAACUCCUUCGCCUGCUUCUUCUUUGGUUCUGCUUUUGCUUGACAAACCAGCUUCUUUGUAAAGCUCCGAUGUUUAGUUAAAGUGUUCCACUUUUUGCAAGUAAAUCGUACUGCUCUCAGAGAUGUAACUGGAACCCUAGAGAGCACCUCCUCUGCCAAAUCCCUAGGAAGAUCGGAAAUCUUCGUCAUUGUUUUAACAAAUAUCAAUGAAAUGGAAAUUAGGUCGUCCUUGUUUCAAUAAGGAUAGACGUACGAAAUGGUGAUUAGGGUUUUACUUCCACGUUUUCAAUCUUUUUAUAUAGAGACGGUUCAGUCAAAUAAGUUAAUACUCGCUCUGGUUUUUGGGCCCGGGAAGACUAUGGUGAAAAGAAACGAUUUUGAUCCUGUAGGUUUACGAAAGCCUUAUUGAGUUUGUUACAAACUCAACAUAGUGCCUUCGUAUUUGAUGCUGAAAGAGAAAACACCAGUCGCAUACAUUAGUAUUGCAUGACAAACACACACAAAUUUCGAUCAAAAGAAGGAACCAACUCUUUAAUCAAACCCAACAAACCAAAACGCUACCACUGGCAACAAUCAUUUGACCAAACUGAGACGAUGAACAAGGAUUCUCAAACCACCAAUCAGACCCUUUUUAAAGGUAAAACUAACCAAUCUGUACAUACCAAUUACCAAAUCUCUUUCUCGAACCAUAUUGACCAUGCUUUAUAUUAUGUAUAAAAACAAGUUAGACAAAGACAAUGUCAAAACCCCCCUGGUUUACUUCUGAACUGAUCUUGAGUUGAGAAGAGUUGUACCAACUGCUACGAUCUUCGAGGAUGAAUCUGCAGAUACCUUUACUUUUAUGGGCAACGAUCCUACUCUGAGGAUGUCAUCAGCCAGAGACCCAGUAACCUCUUCAGAAGAGUCUGAUUUGUGAUCAGAGCUGAGAGAUGGGGCCGGUUUAGACUUGGCUUGGGUCGGGUUAAAGGUGGUACAAGCAGUCGGUUUAAUGGUGAGAGAACCAAUCUUCAGAGUUGAAGGAGUAGAAUCUUCUGUUGCUUCCUGUGGAUUGCUCUUUUCAUUCCCAUCUGAGUUUUUUAACUGCACACCUUUUGUUUCUGCAGAGGUCACUGGAGGCUUCUUGACGACAUCCUUGGAGCUUUUCUUGCUUCUGUCAUAACAAUCUAGUUUAAGCACGGGAAAUGGCCUGCGAAAGGUCCUGAAUGGAAGUCUAGCUCUCUCUUCCUGCAUGAGUCUCUGGCGGUUUUCGUAGUACAUAAAAUCAUCUAAUAGUGAAGUCUUUUCCGCAUGAUUUUUGAAUAGUUUUAGCACCUCGAGUCCUUGUUUCAGUAUUAUCUGCACACAAACGAGAAUGAUUAGAUUGAAACUUGAGAUAUCAAAAUCAGAGUUCUCGGAAUCUAGUUUUCAAGGUGAAGUGUUAAGUUAGGAAAACUCACCUCUUGUGUGUCUCGGCUGUUGGUCACUGGCUUAUUCUCAUUAUUAUGUAAAAUAAUGUGCCUGAAAUAGCUAUUAGGAACAUCUUUAAUGAUGUGCCACUUGACAGGAAAGCUUCCACUCCAUUUGUCUUGCUGCCAAAAAUCCAUGUCGCGGUCGAAGGAAAUUGGACCGGUCAUCUCAGCCACGCCACAGAACAGACCACUGGCAUUGACCUAAAACGAGGGAAGCACUACAUCAGCAUGAGCCCAUAGUAUGAAUGCAAACACAUUGGCACAAGGAACAAAGAGGAAGAAUGGACUCACAGAAAAGAAUAAGAAAAUAGGACAUUCACGAGACUUCUCAGUGGCUAUUCUCUGAGUAUCUUCAUAUACACCCUGCAAUUUCUUGUUCCCAUGCAAUGUUGAUGACCAGACACCAUACUUGAUGCUCUUGUGAACAUCAUCUUCACUAUACGAUUUAAUCACAAAAAACUUGGCAUCGCUGUAAUCAAGACUGAAAUCUUCUUUAUUAUAUUGAUCAGGACUUAUCACAAUGUUUCCUUCCGAAUCAACGUUUCCAGCUUUGGUUGUAUAAGCUUUGACAAUUAGUUGAUUUCUUGAUCUUCUCGUUCUUAUACCUCGAUUUUGUUCACUCGUAUCUGGACUUCCGGUUACGUCAGUAUCACCUCUGCUAUCAUACAUCUUGGAACGAGGCUUGCAACUAUUUGAAACAAUGGAUGGAAACCCUUUAGCAAUGUCAAAGUGCCCAUAAGACGAGAGUCUGCUACUGGAAACAGUGUCAACGGAGGCAGUUUUUCCCUGCAAAAACAUACACACGACACCAGAAUCAACGUAGGAAUGAUGGCUAAGAAAGCACUGCUGUGUUAUAAAAAGACACUCCUCGUAAUGCAAAAAUACACCCAAUAUUUACAAGAAAACAGAAUCAGGAAUAAUUCUAUACGAGAAAUUACCUGGAGAGAAUGCGCGGAAGCUGUUGGGGAAACAUUCUUGGGGAUUCCUGGCUGUUUAUUCUGGCCAGUGUUAGACCUUAGCUUCCCAUGGGUCAUACCCAAGGAAUUCACUGUCGAAGAUUUUGGAGCAUCUUUUGGAAAUACGGCAAUUGCUGAAGCACUUCUCGGCUUGGAACCUCUUCCAUCAGAUUGACCACCAUUGGCUAAGUCAGUUGUUGCCAAAGAGUCUGUUGAACUAUUCGAGACCAUAUCAGGCUGAAUAACAUAUGGAGCAUAAGUAGGUGAGGAUGCAGCAUUUUCAUAGGGAGGGUUUGAGUAAUAUUGUUGGAAUCCAAGAAAAGAAGAGUCAACGCCUAUUGAUGCGCCUGGUAUGUAAGGAUUGUAGGGAUUGUAGGGAGACUGUGCAUAUCCAUAACUUGGUGUAUAGCAGAUAUAAGGAGAAUUUUCAUUUUGCCCACCCUGAAGACGCACAGAUCAGAAUGUUAGCAGAUAGGACAAUAACAAAAAAAAAAAAAAACAGCAAGUUUCACACACCGUGUAUUGGACCUCUGAACCAUCUACACCAAGAAUAACCUGACGGUUCUCCCAUUCGACAGAUGAAUCAUAACCUGAAAAAAAAUCCAGUAACUUAGGGAAUUUGCAACCAUGAAAGCAAGAGUAACAAGUAAAGUUAGUGAGCCAGCUAUCAACCUGAACAGUAAUAAGCAGGAUAAUACAUGCUCUGAUCAGUAACAAAAUCAGAGGUUCCCUCGGUAUACAAUGCUUCAAUUUAUCGGAUAAAAUAUUUUGUUCAAUGGAGUUUGAAUAAACCACCUGAAAUUUAUAUAUAAAAAAAAAAAAACAGAAUUUCUCAGUGAAGAUACAAAUCCAGGAAUAGAGAGAAACUAUAACACGGCAGCAAAACUAUCAGAUAAAAUCUGAGACUCUCUUGCAAAACAAAAAGAAGAGCUCCACUAAUACAAAAUUUACCAAUUCUAAACAAGACUCGAAACGAAAAAGAGAGAGAGAGCUCUAAAUGUACGCAGAGAAGCCCUAUUUUACGGAAAUCUAAAUUAUACAAAACCAAAAAUAACACCAAUAAAAAUCUCAAAAUGCAAAGUAACGAAAUCAAAUAAGCUUAGAAGCUUACAUUAACGUGAAGCUAAAGAUGCUGAGAAACGAAAUCAAAUAAGCUUAUAAGAAAACAAAUCCAGCUAUAAAAGCAGACAAUUUUUAGCAGAAAUUUGAUAAAUAUACCAGAAAUUUGGCAGAAUCAAGUCAUACUUGACCUAAACAGUUCUUCGACUGAAGAAGAAUUUGGGUACCGACGAAGAGUUAGAGUGACAGAGAGAGAAGUUAGGAUAGUGAGUUCAGCAGAAAAAAGUUGAAAUAAUAAUCUACCGAAUCGAAGAAACCCUGACACUAAGAUGAGUGAGGUAGAGAGAAACGAAGAAGACGACGAGAAGAUUCGCUGAGUGAGAAAAAUGGAAAUUAGAAAAACCCAGAAGACGCGCAAAGACAGACAGAUUCCGCUGUUUUGUUGUCAUACGCAGCGUUUUCAACCGAAGAAUCUAAGUAAUGCUAAAGUCGAUAAUACCCUUGAAAUUGACCUUUACAGGCCCAAUGGUCUAAAAGAUCCCUUACCAGAAACGGUAAAUAAAAGGUCGUUACUUGCCAGAUUUGUAUGGCCUACAUUAUCCAAAUAUGUAACUCCAAAACCACUAAAAACAAGUGAACAAUAUUGAAUAUUCGAAACAGACAGUAUACAAAUUUCUUACAAAUAUAUCUCUAAAUAUAAAAGAUUAUUUUUCAUGUCUAAUAAGUCUAUUAAGAGACCAUCAAAAGACUUUUUGAUCUGAUAAGUUUCAAAUGGCUCAAAAGUCUCAAUCAAACAUGGAACACCAAGGAUGAACAAAACCGCAUCAAAACUUGGAGAAAGAGAAAACUGUAGUUUAAUGUUUAGAGGCACUUAGAGAAGAGACUUGUGUAUACAGGAAAAGAAUUGAGAAAGGUUGAGAUUACUUCAGAGGGUACGAGUUUUAUUACUUUCUCGUGCUGCUUCUCCAUUAAUGUUAACACCAGUUUCUGCGGAUCGAUUUCAUUCAGAGAACCUGCAAUAUCAGUACUUAAGGAAAUUAAAAAUCUCGAUUUUAAACAAAGUUUUAAGUUGUUUCUUAUCUUGUUGUGAAGAGCAAACUUGCCCAAAUCAAUCUCAUGGUCAUCAUCUUCUUCAUCCGCCUCUUCAAUUACUUCACUCUCCUCCAAUUCUGCUGCAGCUUUGGCAUACCUUUGUAGAAACUCUUCCUCCGUUUCUUCACACUCGUCAUCGCUCUCAGAAUCCUGUUCAAAAAAGACAUAAGAUGAGACAGCUUAUUUGGGAAGAAACAAAUCACUAGAAGAUCCAAUGUUGUUUCUUGAAACUAGUCGUUUAUAAACUAGUUUGCAACUGGACCAGCAAAUUGGUUGCUUAUCUGAGUUUAUAUCCUUAUACUAGUUUUAACAAUAAAUUACAGAACAGACUUUGAUUGUAAUUUAAUAACGAGUACUAGAAAUCAAAUCAAACCUCAUCAUUUGAAUCAGUUUCUUCAGAUUCUGUCUCUUCUUCUCCAGGUUCUCCAUCAUCUUCAUCAUCGUCUGUUUCUUCGUUCACUUCCUUUAGCCUCCGAGAAGCAUCCAUCAAUGAAACAAAGCACUUCCUUGCCAAAUCAUCAGUUGCAUUCCCGUGCCUUACAUCUAAAAGAUGCUUGAUCACCUUUACUACCGUCAUCACUGAAACAAGAGGACUUUUAGCCUAUGUUCAUGCAUUUAUGAUUAACAACAGCUACUAUAUACAACUAAACCUUUUAUGAUUAACGAGUUGGCAAAAGCACAGGUUUUAACAUGUGAGCUGUAAUCGUAAGUUUGAUAAUUCUCAAUCACCACAGAAAGGAAAGAUUUAUCUACUCACCAUAUAGUUUUACUUCCGAUACUACUGAUGGACUGGCAUCACACAUAAGCGAGUAUGAAAAAGCCAAUGAAGAUACCCAUAACUCGAAACCUCCAGAUAUCACUUUCUCUAAAACGCCUUCCACAAUAUCGGAAUAGGAGAUAUAGCAUGAUGAUAUUGCCAGUAAUAGAGGCCUCCACAAUGUACAAGGUUUCUCACGCAAUGCUAGAAAAUGAGAAAAGGCUGAUUCAGUGAAGACCAUCGCCAAUGAUUUCCCCACCCCUUCGAUGUCAGAUGAGUAGUUGGGUACAUAUAAUAAUGUGUGGACACAAGAACAAGCCCUCCUUGUGGCCGACGGAUACUCAAGUAUGGCUUUGCUGACAAAUGAACCAAUGGAUUCAACAACAGAUCGCGGACGGACUGGCAUGGCUGGAGGGGAUGCCAUAUCUCUGAAAAGGAAACUCCUAAAACCAUAUUUGUUGUUUAUACCCACAACUUCUUCUAUACAGUCAAAAACUGAUAAAUCCUCCGACUCUUCCCAACCAUUCCAACUAGCAAGAAUAUCGGCCCAAACUAUGAGUAAUUCACUUAAUCUGAGCUCCACAAAUACAUUGCAAUUAGUGCAGGCAAUCACAAUGAACCGCAACAUCGUCGACAAAUGAUCUAUGCUUGAAGUCGGAGGCACAUCUGUUGCCUGAACCAUGCAAAGAGAAAAGGCAGAGCAGUAUCCUAAAAUUAGAACAGUGUUUCAAUUUCCAUAAAUUGUAGUACAAAGGAGUAGUAAUGUUUGAAGAUAUCACAGUAAUUAGAGUAAGACAUAAUUUAACUACCAGCCAUGCGUGCUGUAAAAGUGCUGACAAAGCUUUGCUGAUGUUGCCUUGACCAGUUAGCCAUAUUUCAGUCGCCUGAUUAUUCUCCUCAUCCGCUUCAGGCUUAGAGCUUUCAUAAGUCUGAGCCAUCGCUGCUAAUGUCUCAAGGCCACCUAGAAUAGCCUACGUUGAAAACAAUAUAAGAGGUAUUAGAAAUAAGGUUGAACUGACUAACUUGUAAUGUCCUCAAAAGAUAGUAAAAAUUUCACAAUACCUAGACCAGGAACAACUGAAAUACUACAAAUAUUUUGGUAGCGUCAAGGAUUUCAUGUGCGUGAUAUAAACAUAAGCAGAAUGUGUCAAUUUUUUUUACUUCAAAACACGAGGAAUACAUUCCGUUACCUUCAGUUUCAUGUUGUCGAAGCUUCAAAUAUAAGCAAAAAUAUUAAGAAAGGCAGGAAUUAAACAUACCUGAGACCAUGGAUCUUCACUUGGAUGCAUAAACUUCAACAUAUUACUAACUAGCGAAGAGACAAUGUACGGAAUAUGCGUGGCAAUAUCUUGAUUUCCCGACUCGACCACAGAUUUGAGAAGCUGAAACAACAUGCUAUCCUCGUCUUCCUCAUUACCAAUCUUACCAGUAAUAAUCUGAAGAAACGGCAACCAUUCAGGUGGUUGGUACUCAUUCUGAAGAGAACGAACAUAUUCUUUGAGUUAGAUAUGACAAGCCAUCAGUUCAAGCCACACGUUCAAUUGCUAAUAUAAGUGCUGACUUACUUCGAGCAGUGAACCUAUUCCACCAGCAGCUGAAAAACGCACUGGGUAACAAGAAAUCUCCACCUGAUCUGGCAUUGCUAAUGCCUUCAGCAGGGAAGAAAAAACAUCUGCAUUCAUUUCCUGAAAGCAUAAAGCAAUAAAUCAAUUAUCUGAUCACUAGAAGUAAAUUGUUACAAAUUUUAAUCAGUGACUAAAAUAUAUCAUAUCCCAGCAAAUGGUUUUAAUAAAUAUAAAUAUUUUGGUGAUUUACAGCAUCAAGAAGAAUAAGUAAAAAAAUUUACACCUCAGGUAGGCAAGACGCAAGCUCUCCAAGUACCCAGUUUGCAGAUGCAACCAAGUAAGGUGAGCAAUCAGGUGUAGAAUAAAUCGGUAGCACACGGGUACGGACAAAAGAUGCCACAUACUCAGGAUUUUGUUCUUGGAUAAACUGCCGGAAAAAGGGAGCCACCGUAAUUCUAUGUACUAUAUCAGUCAAUGCUUAAUUGCAAAACAAAGAGAACCAGAUUUGCUCACCUCUUGCAGGCUACCAUAUGCCAUUAGGACACCGAAAUAGCUGAAAUGUCGACGUAGCAACAAAGUCAGCUUAAUAACAAAGUAAAAGGAAAUGAAACAAGAUAUACUAAAGUGAAAGAGAACAGUAAACAAGAAGCACUUCCAACCCGAUAUUAGAUUUUCAAAAUGUUAAAUAGUUGUCUACGACAAGUUGAUCACGAGCUUGCAAAACGAGUUUUUAAAGUUCCAUUACAAGAACAUAUUUUCUAAUACCCACUGCAAGCAUUUAACUUAACAUUACUCACUACGUCAAACAAACAUGACCACACUGCUCAGAGCUUGCAAAAGCAUUUUUAUUUGGUUUAGGCAUCUGCCAAGAAUUUCAGUGAGUUAGAAUCAGAAGUCAUGAAAAUGUAUAGAACUCACGCUGCUGAAGUACUAGCAUCCAGUUUGUUACUCUUAGAAGGCACAUAAAAUUUUGACAAAAAUGGAAGCACCAGUAGAUCUCCCAUGCAUCUUUGGUUAUUUCCUCUGUUCUUUUCACCUUUCUUCCGCUUACAUGCUGCUGAGGAAGCUUUAUUUGUAGUAGAUACUGGUGGUCCCUAUGAGAAUUGGAUCACAACCUAUGAACAAAUAGCUGAAAUAGGUAAAUGAACAACUAUAGUUUCUUCACCUUUGACAUGGCAAGGACACCAAGUAAGUUCAUAGCGCUUUUCCUCGCUGUAAACAAGUCAUCCCUCCACCCAGAAAUUUCUUCCUGCCAAACGAAAGUGCUAUUAUGUCCUAACUUCUGGACCAUAGACAAAAAAUUAAUCCGUGUAGAGAGAGAUAGAGUAAGUUUCCAUACUAGUUCAGAUGGAAGGUUUUUCCUUAUGAAUUCAUCUGCAUCUUCUUCCCACUCAGAGAUGUCCUACUUGCAAAAGCAACCCAGAAAGACCACUAAAGUUUUUGAAAUAAUGGUAGUAAGCAAUGCUUGCAACACAGAUUACAAUUUUAGGAAAGCGUACCCUCUCAUUAAGCACCAGGGCUGGAAAGAUUGCGAAGUCCAACAAAAAGGAAAAAUGGGGUGAAAGUAAUCUCCAUCCCUGUUUACAAGGUACCAAAAUUUGCUUUCAUAAACAUUUGAUAAAUCUAUAUAUAUUUGCUGUAAAUAUUCUAACAACUUACAGGGCCAAUUUCCAUGACGCGUGAAAUUACAUCAAAAGCAAGUGAUAUAAUUCUCUCAGUUAGGCAUCCGAGCUUCUGCACAUGAUAGUAGGCCCUCAUAGCAUUAGAUUAAGAAGAUAGUAACAUUUUGAUGGAAGCAGUAAUUUUUGUAGUAACAAAUUAAAAAAAAGAAAUUGCUAAACAUACAUACACUGAUGUUUGAGCUAUGUUUGACAAUCUUCAUUGAGCAGUUUACUAUCUCCGGCACCAAUCUGCAUAAAUCAAAUAUAUUAGGUGUGGGAAAUAAGCAUUGCUAAGAGGAUCUUAAGGUGUUCGCAUACUUGUCAGAGUAUUUUCUAUGUCUGCUGACGAGUGUGCCAAAGAGGAGCAAACUUCUUUUUCCAGCUUUCGACCUUAUCAAGUACCCAUCAGAAGGAGUUACACUCCAGUCAAAACUCAAGGAGUCCAGAAUUCGGAUCAUAUCUCGACAGAAGGAAUCGAGCAGAGGUGACAAAGCAGAUGGCAUAUGAGACUUCACCUACAACACAAAACACCCUUAACAAAACAACCACAGUAGAUAGCACAACAUGAACAUGAAAUGAAAAAUGAUAAAUUAAGUGUAAUAAUCAAUGGCAAUUUUCAAUCACCCAGACAUGCAAUAACAGUUCUGAAACUUCGUGUAUCUGCAAUAUAAACUGAAGGUAUGACUUACUGAAAAGUAUAGGCAUUUGCAAAUAAUGUGGAGUGUCUUUUCCAAUUCCAGUUCAUCCCAUCCAUGGGUAGUCAAAGCCUGCUUCAGAAUCAUACCAGAUAUGAAUACUCAUCGAGAUCCAAAGAGCAGAUGUAUCUUACAUAAACUUGUGAGCAGAUGAAGAACGAGAAAAAACUAAGAGAAAAGGAUAACCUUGUCAAUGAGACGAUGUAAUACUGACACCAAGGGUACUAGAAUUUCUUUCGUGAUACUCUCUAGCUGUUGUGGUACUGGCUCCUUUGCAAGUUUUGGUUGCAGGAAGUACUGCAGAGCAAACAGACAAAAAUAAGCCAGCCUCAUUCUAAUAGACCACAAUGGACCCGGUUCAACAGAGAACCACCCCUUCAAAAUACACAUGUUUCAGAUUUAUUUGGAGUAGUUAAUACUCUUAAAUUUGCAGCCAGAAGCAACAAAAGUUCACAACCAAAAUAAGGGAUGAUCAACCAUAAUAUGAUGGAAAACGGGGUGCAGUAGAGGAGCGCUGAUGGAAGAGAGAGAGAGAGAUAUAAAAUAUUUUUUUCCUUACGAAAGAGAAUGUUACAAAUACCUGAAAAGGCUUUACAACGGUAAGCAAUACCAUCAGAGCGUUCACAGUACUCCAGCUAGAGUUUGAUCUGCUAAUUAAUCUACUGUUCUCGAUAGCAGAGCGGAGCUCCGGUACAAGUUCAGGCCAUGCAUUUUUCUUCACAUAUUCUGAAAUGACAACAAUGUGGAGCUGCCCACAAUUGAAGUAAAAUGAAGGUUUGCACAAAAUUAAAAUUUACAGGAAGAAGGGAUUUAUAAUAAGAUUUGCAACAACUAAAUGAACAUAAUAAGCUUGUUGAAUAUGCCUACCAGUUCAAGUAAAACUUUAAGAAGUGCAGGCUCUGCCUGAAGCAAAGCUAGGAGCAGCUGAUCCUUAAAGUCCUUGCUGGCUUCUGAGAUUAUCCCUUCAAUCCCAGUCCUCCUUCUGGUAAAAUUCUUCAGAUAUGUUGCAGCAGCAACUCUCAGGCUGGAAUUUUCACCUCCUGUCAACCAGAAAAAAAAUUGAACUAGCCCUCAUUCAACAGCGAUUGAUAGAACCAAAAGACUCAGCCGAUUUAGUUCAAUCAUGUAUAGGUUUUGUAUCAGCUGAAUCAAAAAAUAUUGCUAAGCAUUUAAUACUCUUCAAGAAACUACCUCCACGAUUAUCAAACUCCAGCACACUGAAAAAUCCUAUGCUACGGCCAAAAGGGCAGCUCAAUUUGGAUAUCUUAUGCAAAAUUCAUGGACACAACGGAUGAGAAUGAACUAGAAGCAAAGCAAACAAGAAUAAAACGCUUGGGCUUGGGUUCUUUACUCAGAAAGUCAUAAACCAAAUCAUAACUCUUAACAGAUUUCGUGAAAUCGUUACGACUGUGAAGUCAACCAACGUAACCCUAAUUGAGGAAAUCAAAAUCACAACUCUUCUUCAGAAUUCAAUGCGUCAAAAUCAGUUCGAGGAAAGUAAAAUCGGGUAGACAACAAAAAAAGAAAAAAUUGAAAGCUUGCCGGAAGCGAGGGAGAGAAGACGAUAUGGGAAGUGAGGGAGCUCCGUAGAAAGUCGAUCCAGAGCCUCCGUCGCCUCGCGGACUGCAACGCCAUCAAUGGAAGUAAGCGUCUGGUCAAGAAGCCGAACAAUCUGAACUGAGUCGUCGUCGCCGACGAACAUUGCGUUUCUUUUUUUUUUUUUUCUUGUUGCUUUUUCAUUUUCUUCCCUCCAAGCUUUUUUAUUUACUGAUGAAAUUGAGGGACAUCAGUGGCGGGAAUAAUUCAGGUUUCUUUAUAUUAUGUAUUAGGGAAGAAGAAGAAAAAAUAAGUUUUGUUGAAUUUUGGAGACUUUGACAAGUGUUGGUUCGAUACCGAAGACUACGAAGAAUAUAACAAUUAGUUUGUGUUGUGUAUAGUAGUCGAAAAAUUUGGAGUCUAAACUUUGGGGUAGUUUAAAGUCCUUCUUAUUUGGAGUGGUUUGGACGAUCAAGCGUUUCCGGUAUUGCAAGGAUCUUCUUCCCGGUUGUUAGCUUCCUCUGCCCUUGUUGCGGAGCUUGUAACCCUUUGGGUUACACUGGAUGCAGUCUCUCAUGAAGUCUUUUGGAUCGUCGCGUUUCGAUCUCGUUUGGCUUCUUUUGUAAAGAUGUGUCUUGCAUUUAUCCCGUGUAUCUUCUCUUAGAGUAUUUCUAGGCACUUCCUGCCUUGUUAUCUUAUAUUUUCCUUUUAUUUGGGUUGUAAUUCCUCCUCCUCUGAGUGAGUUUGAAACUUAAUUUCAAUGAAAAUUAUCAGUUUGACCCAAAAAAAAAAAAACUUUGGGGUAGUUAGCAAAAUCAACCCCAAAAACCUUAAUGUGUAAUGAUCAUUGUCUUGGUUAGCUUCUCUACACGAUGUAGUUAUUAAAGAUAUAUGUAUUAGCUAGUUUAACAUACAUUAUAUUCGUAGUGAUAUAUGUUAUCACAGCAUUAUUACCACUCAUGAUGUAAAUUAUUCCAACAAUUACGUUGUCUCAUUUAUUUAAAAUCUUUUCCUAUUGUUAGGUUUUGAUCCUUUCUCUGUGGACAAAAAAUAUGUUGUAUAUAUGAAAUCUCCAAUUGGUGAUAAUUGGCAUGUAAUUCAUUGUAUGUAAGAGCAUAGAUUGUUUUGUAGACCUGCUAAUUGAUACGGUUGGUCAGGUGCUUUGCCCUUUCCAUGUUGAGUCUCUGUAGCUUCUUUUAUGUAAUGACACCAAAUAUAAAAUGACAAGAAUUUGGUUGACAGAAAAAUUAAAUAAUGACAACAACUUUAAUAAAAUAAAAAAACAAAUGCCUAUAAUUUAAACUUGAAAGCAUAUCCAGCUCUAGUCAAUGAAAAUUUUCUGAAAUCUAACCAAAUUUUUUUUUUUUUUAAAUAUAUAUAUAUAUUUUUAUAUUCCAUUAAAAUGCAAUGAAUUCCAAUAUAAUUUAUUUCUUUAUUUAUUAUUAUAUAACUUGUUCAUUUCUAAUUUAUAAUGAAGAUUUUUAACUAUAGACAUUAUAUAUACAAGUUUUCUUUCUACCUAUUUUUUUUUUGACAGCACAAGUUUUCUUUCUACCUAUUUUUACUUAAUUUGAAAAACUAACUUUUAAAAAAGAAAUUCCAAAGUUAUGUUAUAUAAAUACGUACGUCAAUUAACUAUCGAACACGUACAAAAGUCUACAUAAUACAUUAUAAUGCAAAGAAUUCAAUUCACUUCGCAAAGGAGUAUAAAUGUAUAAUACAAAGUUACUUUAUAAUUUAAAGCAUUCAACUGAUCUAGCCAAUAAUUUUAUUUUUAGAUCCAUCCAAGUGUAAUUUUUUAAAUGUAAUGAAUUUCAAUGUAUUGGCAACCAAUACAUUUAUUUUAAAAAUUUGAGAUCUUGAAAUUAAAUUCAAAAAUUGUGUUUAUAAACACUUUAGUAUUGUACUAAUGAACACGUGUAAGAGUUUACUUAAUUAAUAAUAAGAUUAAAAAAAAAAAGUGACUUUAUAAUUUAAAGCAUACAACUGUAGUUGAGAAUAUUUUGUAAGAUCCAUCAAAAUUUAAUUUGUUAUCAUCAAAAUCCAUUUAAAAGUUUAAUUUCAAUGUAUUUGCAAUCAAUAAAUAUCUUUACCUAUUUCUUAAAUUUAAUUCUUUAUUUAAUGAUAAUAAAGGUAUUUAACUAAAGUAGACAUUGUAUAUGUGUAUAUAUGUGUAAUGCGUAUCAUCUUUUUACAUAAUUUGGAGAGAUCAAAGUGAAGAGUUGACAAGGGCUUAACAAGGUAUUGUUGUUGUCGUCAAGUUCUUGCCGGCAGUUCUGAACUUAUGUUUUUUUUGCUCAAGCUAUAUAUUAUUUAAAGUAGAGUCGAGGAUAGAAGUUAUUUAAUUAUGUUUAGUGAAAAUCAAUGGAUACAUACAUAUUGUCAUCACAAGACAAAAUCUCUAUACCCGCUUAAUGGUUAGAAUUCAUUGUGAUCAGUCUGAUCAUUGUGAUAAUUCAAGCUAUAUCGUGCUCACUGGCGGACCUACGUUCAUGAAAGGGGUGGCAGCUGACCUCCCCAUAUUUCAAAAUUUUAAUUAUAGUUAUGAGGAAAAAAUGUAUUUAGCCCAUCAAUUUUUUUUAUUUUUAGUUAUGUUUGACCUGGCUGAAAAAAUAUUCUGGGUCCGCUAUUGAUCGUGCUUAUCUGGCCUUUUCACGUUUUUAUUAUUAAUGAUAUGGAAUUAAACAUCUGAUAGGAAACAUUCUUGGCCGCCUAAAUCUUUUGCUGCAUUUAAGAAUCAACAAAAAAUAUGUUUUAUAUAUAUAUGUAGUAAUUUAAUUUAGACCCUUUAGUUUAAGUAUAAUUUAAUACUAUGGAUCUUGCUUUUGUAGAUGGAGAAGGAGAACACCUUGAAUGAUACCUUGAUUGAAAAAGAAAGCAUGUGGAUACGUACAUGUGGAUUUUUGCGCAUGUGAGUGUUUUCUUUUUUCACGUAAUAACUAUCAACAUAAGAAACAAAUUUUUCGUUUUAAUGAAAGAAUGUCUAAACUUUUGGUUAAAACUAAUGACAGGGUGACGUCAGGAUUAGUCUACCCAAUAGUCAUACAUUCUGUAUUCGUGACCGCAUUCGCUUUGCUAUUUUUGCAAGUAUUGCGUACAUAUGGUUUUGAUCACGACGAGCUUAUGAACGUUCUUUACGGUUUCUUCUCUUACUUGUUGUGUGGCUUAUUUGAAUUAUUUAUAAGACGCUAUUGGCCGCUGCCGGACGAUUGCAUACCUGCCGUUCAUAUCUUGGAAUAUUGUAUGUUUGUACAUCCACGUUAGCAUUAAAUUAUCUGGAUUUUGUUUUCUUAUUUGUCGAAAUAUUAUUUGGAUGUUGGUUUUUCUUUGUUUGGUGUCUCUUCGCAUUUGAACUACCAGUUCAAAAAUCAGUGUCUUUGUAAUUUCUGAUUAAAUUAUGCAUCAUUAAUGUCUAAUUCAAAAGAUCUACUAUAUAUAGAUUUGAGAUUUAUUCUACGUAAGUAAAACUAUUAUAGAAUAUUUUACAAAUUAUUAUUCAUAAACCAAAAAUCUUAAUCAAACUCUAUCGAAUCUCAGUCUAAUAAAAAUCCAGAUGAGUAUAGCAACGAACAUCAUUUAAUUAGACUGGAAACUAAACUCAAAACGAUACAUAUGUCAUCAUCUCUUAAUUAUUAGCUACCGCCUACCAGUUAGUUUUUUUGCAAAUUUUCAAGAUUAUACCGAUGGAGAGAAGACGAUAAGAGAGCUCCGUAGAAAGUCGAUCCAAAGCAUCCGUCACCCCGCGGUCUGCAACGCCAUCAAUGGAAGUAAGCGUCUGGUCAAGAAGUCGAACAUACUGAAUUGAGUCGUCGUCGCCGACGAACAUUGUGUUUUUUUUUUCUUGUUGCUUUUUCAUUUAUUUCCCUCCAAGCUUUUUUUAUUUACUAAUGAAAUUGAGGGACAUCAGUGGCGGGAAUAAUUCAGGUUACUUUAUAUGCAUUAACUCAUCAGUAUAAUUAUAUAUAUAGAAGAGGGAAUUUUUUCAUUUAAUUUUAAUGCAAAAAUGUCUAAAUUUUGGAUAAAUAAUGACUAGAGUGACAUCAGGAUUGGUCUACUCUGUAGUCAUAAAUUUUAUACUCAUGGCAGCAUACGCUUUGCUAAUUUUGCAAGUUUUGGGUACAUUUGGUUUUGAUAUCUACCACUACCAGCUAGGCAAAGUUGUUUUAUAUUCCGUCAUCUACUUGAUCACUGCCUUACUUGAAUUAAUUAUGAGAUGGUCUCCGGAGCCGGACGAUGAGUCGAUGACAUACCUCAACUUCAUAUGUUGGGGUUUCUCACCUUUUUAAAAAAACUUCAUUGGGGUUAAAUUAUCUUAAUUUUGCUUUUAUAUUUGUCGAAAUAUUAUUUGGGUGUUGGUUUUUCUUCGUUUGGUGCCUCUCACAUUAUGCUUAAUUAACUGAACCAACAGUUUAAUAAUCUCUAAUUAUAAUAAUUAAUUACUCAGUAUUCCAUAAAAAAAUUAAAUAUGGCCCCAAAGUUACAAUAAUGUUUUUGGUCACCGGCUCCAAAAUGUUUUGGCAAAUAUUUAUCAGUUUAGCUAAAAACAAAGGAAAAGUCUAACUAACUCACAAUUAAGGGAUAGAAGAAAACAACAUAUUGUACAUGUUUUUUUUUUUUUUUGACAUCUUUGGAUCGACAAAGACAUACUGUACAUGUUAAAUUUCCUUUUGUCCAAAAAAAAUAAAAAAUUUAAAAAUAAUAAUAAAAAAUGUUAAAUUUCCUUGUAAUAUAAGCAUAUUUAAAGAUUUUUCAGAAAGUAUCAUAUUUAUGAUUAUUUGUUGGUUUAUCAGCACUAGUACUCUUGUUUAAAAAAGGUUGAAUUAUUACACAAAAUAAUUUUUAGUAGUGUAGGGUAGCCUCUAUUUAGUAGUAUAUUUGAUGAAUCCGAUGUACGCAUAAGUUAUGAGUUGCCCUAAACAAACCCCUAAACCAAAUAGUAAGUAUAAAAGAAAGGGGAAAAAGAAAGUAAAGACAAAGUAUUGUACAUUACCUACAACCUCGAGAGCGUACUUGAUCAAUUUGGAGAGCUUUCUUUUGUAAGUUGUGUUUUUAAGAUAAAUGAGUUAUUGUGUUGUGGUGUGUGUGGUUUAUAUAAGCACAUUUCUUUGGGAAAAAUGGGGGUUUCAUCUUAGUUACCGUGCAAGAAUUAUUUCACCAUCUACUCGGCAAUCCUUUUUAAUUUUCUCUUCCUGAAUCCAUUUAGCAAGUAAUUUGCUUUUGGUUUUUUCCAUUUUCAUUGCUUAACUACACUAGUUAAGGGCCUUAACUCUUAAGGCAUAGUAAUAGUUGUGUUUCUUGAGUUAAAUCGCGGAUGUGGAUCACACAAUAAAAUUAAUUACCGUUCAAGAAUCAUUUCACUACUAUCUACUCAACGAUCCUUUUUAGUUGUCUCUUCUUUCAAAACCAUAUAUGGAAUCCAGAUAGCAAAUAAUUGUUUUUUCCAUUCUCAUUGUGAUUAUAUAUGUUGUCACAAUUUGUAAUCAACGCUUAUGUACGUACAAAACGAUAAGAAAUAAUAGUAAUGAUGUUUUGUGUGUUUAUAUUUUUAUUUAUAACUAUUUACGAUAUCAUUUUAAAAUGACUAAUUAAUUAUUUGGUUAUAAAACAAAUUGAAUUAUACUUAAUUUUUGCUUAUGUUUUGCUCAAAUUUUUAUUUAUUUUUUUCAUUUUUUUCUUUCAUAUUUUAUAAAAGCUUAAUCAUGUAGAUGAAAUUGGUUGAAAUUUUUCAAUCAGCUGUAAUCUUCUUUUUAACCUUAUGGUAUGUCUCAUUUGCAACUUAUAUUUAAAUACAAAUUUCAUUGAUUUCAUGUUUAUGCCUUUGCAACAUAUGUAUAAAUGAAAGAUGAAGUAUCCUCACGAGGGAGAGAGGAAGAAGAACGCCGACUCUAGAUUUCCUGUGAAUCAACACAUGGAUUGAAAAUCAUUAUACAAUUACGCAAAUUAAUAUAUAUGGGAAGAAGAAACGAAAUAGAGAGAUUAGCUAUCAAACACCAGAGAACAUAUUUAUAGAGGAAGAAAAAAAAAAAAUUUAUAGAGGAAGUCCUAACCUAAUAGAAUAGGCUUUACUUUUUACGUGUGUAUGCGUCAUUGUUUUUACGGUGUGAUCACUGCAACCUAAUACUUAUCCACUUUGAUUUAAAUUCAAAUUUUGUUUUGUUUGUUUUUUUACUAAUCACAUUUGCCAUCAAGGUUUUUUUUUUUUGAAUCUAUACCGUAAAAACAAUGACGCAGUCGUAAAAGUAAAAACUAUGGGGCUUUUGCAAAAAUACCCUUUUUCAAUACCACUUUUUAAAAAUACCCCCUUUUUAAAAUCUUAUAAAAAUGCUCUUAAAAAUAUAAGAUUUACCCAAAUAUGUAUGUAAUAUUAUUAAAACAUACACAAACUACAUUUCUAUGUAUCUAAAAUCUUAUAAAUACUUUAUAAAUACCUUAUAAAUGCAUUUUAAAUACCUUUAAAAACCUUUAAAAUAUCUUGUAAAACCUUUGAAAAACUUUAAAAAUCCUUUAAAAUAACUUGUAAAACCUUUAAAAACACCUUAUAAAACCUUAUAAAUACUUGGAUCGAGUCUUCAAGUAGUAGUUACAAUCCAUAAGUACCUUAUAAACCUAAUAAAACUUUUAAAAAAUUUCAGAUUUAAAAAAGGGCAUUUUUGAAAAUGAACAUCUAAAAAGGACAUUUUUGAAAAGGGGCACACCAAAAGGGGCAUUUUUAACAAUUUCCCAAAAACUAUUAGGUUAAGACUUUCUACAUAUGUACACAUAUUCUUUAAUUUUGUUAGUUGUCUUAGUAAUCUCUUGUAUAUUUCUCCCAUAUUAUUUAGAGCAUCUACAAUUGUUAGAGACUCUUUUGGCAAUUUUUUUUUUUUUUUUUUGGGGAAAAGACCCUUUUGGCAAUUAAAAAUAAUAAUUUUAAUAGUAUUUAAUAAAAAAUAUUUGUUGUAAAAGUUUAACCCAAUAGGAAAAAGACAUGUGUAUAAAUAGAUUGAUGAAGGAGACAUAUAUGUAAAUGCUUUUCAAUUAUGUUGUUUUGUUUUCAUGAAUUCUGUUGAUGGAAAAAAAAAAACAGAUUGAUGAAGUCGAAAUGUAGAAUCCACUAUGUAUGAUGUAAUCCUUGUUUGAAAAAUCGCUAGGCGCUAGUCGGGCGCUCGGCAUGGGCCUAGCGAUUAAUCGGAAAAUCGGAUUAAAAUCGGGGAUUAAUCGGGGAUUAGUUUUAGGGUUAUUUUAAUAUUUUUAAAACAUAUUAAUCUAAUAUUAUUUUCAAAAUUGCAGUAAACACAUAAAAAUGUAUUUUUGAGACAAAUUUUAUGAUUUUUAUUACAAAUUUAUGAUUUUUAUUAAAAUUUGAACAUAAACUCCCAAUUUAAAUGAUUGAAUAACAAAAAUAAAAAGUUUUUUUAUACUAGCAAUUUAAAAAAUAAUCGGGGUAUGUAAGAUUAGACGGGGAAUAAUCGGAUUAGGCGGGGAAUAAUCGGAUUAGGCGGGAAGUAAUCGGAUUAGGCGGAGAGUAAUCGGGUGACUGAUUUCUUUAAGGGAUUAGUCAUUAAUCGAGGCGGAUAGGGUGGGCCUAGCGAUUAAGCGGGGAGUAAUCGGGUCUAGGCGGGGAUUUUUAGAACAGGGGAUGUAAUAAUAUCAUAGAAUCCACUAGAGCGUAUCCAAUAAUGCGUGGGCCGGGGCAGCAUAAUAACAUGUAGUAUUUUUCAAUUAACAAAAAACAAAGUACUAGUAAUUUUUCAAUAUAUAUUAUAAAUUUUGACUAUUUGACAAACAAAUUAAGGAAAAAAUCACUAAAAAAUAGUACAUCACAAAACAAGGAAGUAGAAGGAAAAACAAUUUCAAGAUAAUAUUCCAAAUCUAUGCAUACAUAAAACUAUUUUUAGGAUAAUAAAUUAACAAAUAUACCAUAACGAGGUUUAAUUUAAUUUAAAAUUUAAAUUUCCAUGAUAAACCCUUUAGAGAUAGAAAGGGAAAGAGAGAUUUUACACAGCAAGAGAAAAAGAAAACAACAAUGAAGAAGCUCUUCUUCUUCUUCUCCUUCCUCUACACAAUCACAACCCUAACAUUUCCGCCAUUAACAACGUCAGCAGCAACAUCAUGCCGAACAUUAUGCGGCAACAUCCCAAUAAACUACCCAUUCGGCAUCGACGGCGGUUGCGGAUCUCCUCAGUUCAAAGGAAUGUUCAAUUGCUCCACCGAUCUAUUUUUCACCACUCCUUCCGGCAGCUACAAGGUCCAGAGCAUCGAUUACGAGAAGAAAACUAUGGUAAUCUUCGAUCCGGCGAUGUCUACUUGCUCGAUUCUUCAGCCUCACCACGAUUUCAAAAUGGCGGAUAUUCAAAACGCUCUUAUUAGACCUUCGUACGACACCGUUUUCGCACUUUUUAACUGUUCCAACGACUCUCCUGUGCAUAAUCGUUACCGGAAUCUCUGUUUUAAUGCCGCCGGUCACUCUUGCGACGAGCUUUAUAGCUCUUGUACUUCCUUUCGCAUCUUCAACACUACCUCUCCCUCUGGUAUGAAAUCAAUUUGGCUCUUUGUUCUUGAUUAAUCGCUAAUUUAAACGAUUUGAAUUCAAAUCUCGUCGAAAUUUCUCGAUAUUUCCCCAAAUUUUGAAAUUUGUGUUUCCAGGUAAUAGUACGAUUCAUACGACGCCGUAUUGCUGUUUCACUAGCUACGAUACGGUGCGGGUGAUGAGUAUGAACAUUUUGGAUUGCUCGCAUUACACGACGGUGAUUGACAAUGGGAAAAUGAGAGGCGUGGCACCUUUGGAUUGGUCGUAUGGAAUUGAGCUUUCGUUCUCGGUGCCGGAGAUUGGCUGUGACCGUUGCCGGAAGUCAGGUGGUACCUGUGGUUUUGACGCCGAGACGGAGAUAUUUCUUUGCCAAUGUUCUGGUUCCAACAACAACCCUACGAGAGAAUGUGGUAAUUACCGUAUCAAUCCCUCUACUUUUUUUAUUAAUUUCAACCAGAAUGUAGAAUUUAUUAUCUAGGUCAAUUUAGUCCUAAGACAGCAAUACUUGCUUGGAUUAGUAAUUGUUGUUGUUGGUAAAGAAAUUUUGUUGGAUUAGUAAUUGUCGCACAUCCAAUGUUGAAUUAUUUUGUUUGAUUGUUAUAAAUAUGUUUGAUAUAAGACGUUAUAUGUAUCUUUGUUCUAUAUCAGGUGGAGGUAUGACUAAUCAAGGAGGCUGCAAUUCUAUAAACAUAAAUUAUACAACCAUUCUCUUGGUUAUGUUCAUGUCUUUUCUUUACACUGUUUUGUGAUAUAUUCGUAUGUCUAUUUCUAAGAAAUUUAUUGAUUAAUCUAUGAAUUAUGUUUUGGAUUAAAUAUCCUCUUUCCUGAAAAUGUAAUUGGUAAAAUAUAGUGUUUGCUUGUAGAUGACCGUUUAAUCGCAUGUGGGGAAUAUAUUUGUAAGGACUAUUUUAUCAAUUUUUUUUUUUUUGAACAAAAGCUUAUUUUCAUUCCAUUAAUGUAGAAACCAAGUACAGAGAUAGAGGAAAACUGAAUUCCCAAAGUUUAAAGCACUACAAUAAAGGCUAUACCCCAAAGACAACAUAAGAUAGAUAUAAAGAUAGGUAAGGUUAAUCGAUAAAAGUUCCUUGAGAGCUUUGAGCCAAAAGCUAGGUAGCUUGUUGGUACAUGUGAGAUCAAAGAGUAUCGAUGAUUCUUCCAAGAGCAAGUCAAUGGAUGAACGAUUGGCCAUUGUCAAGAGACGAAGUGGCUUUGAUGAAGGGGUCAAAGACGUGAUUCUCGCCGGCACGAGAAAAGCUACACGAAGUAGUGCUUUGACAAGGGUUCGAGCAAAGGUGAAGGUGCUCUGAUGCUUGAAGUUGUUUGCUAGAGCUGCCGUAUAGUGGGAAUUGAGCUUAGGCAAAACAUAGCAAUUGGAAGUGGUGUGGAGGGUGUAUGGCUUGAAGUCGUCAGAAGAGUUUGAUGGAGAAUGGUCAUUGGACAAGCUUCCAAAGCCACUAUCAAAUCUCUCACAGGAAGGGUUCAAGAGCAUUAGACCAAAGACCUUUAAGCUUAUAAACACAUACCUCAAGACUUUAGAUGAAGCAUAAACCAGGGUUCGCAAGUGAUGGGUGUAAAACCGUAACAGAACAGGUGGAUCCUCUCUCGCAUGAAAGCCUCGACCAUGGAGAUUAAGAAUUCCACACAAAGUUUGUCUUCGGUUUAACACAAAUAGAAAAUAACCAGACCUGAGCUUCAAGGUUUUGAGCAUAUGAAAGUUAUCACUGAAAUUGAUAGAUUGCACAUGAAUGAACUCGAUGAACAGGGGGUACGGAAGUAGGAGGUUGAUGAAGCUGCGGUAAUCACCGCUCCUUGGAGACGGGAUCAUAAUGCCGUUCUUCCUCAAUCCUUUCAUCUGACCUCGAUAAAGGUAGCUAAAACCAUAAGUAAUCCGCUUAAGUGAUUUUAAUGGCCAGGUUCUCAGAGAAGGUUUGUACCAACAAUGAAGCGAUGUUUGAUUAGGUUCUAAUCGAUGUCCUCUAACAACUGGUUCCUUAGAUCGACACAAACGUUUGCAGAGAAAGCACAAAUGAGAGUUUAGGCAAAACCUGGGCUUAGUGGAAAGAUGAGUUAGACUGUCACUUCUACAAGUGGUCCAAGAGAGAAAACACCAUGGGCCGAAUUGGGAAAGGCCCAAUAACGAAAACCCUAGUGUCUUUUUGGCUGCGUUGAUGAUGCUGUGACUGUGGCUGCUGGACAUCGGCGAGAUGAUAAUCAGAAUGGAAUGACGCAUUGCCGGAGGUUGUGGCACCGGAGCAGUCAAGACCGGCGACUUGCGGUACCAUUUGGAAAAAGGUGCUGCAGGUUUGGAUUUUAAGGAUCUCACCAACAUCAAGGCGGAGUAAGAUUCGUCCAAAGCCACCAGCGGGUUAGAACGAUGAAGUGAUAAAGCUUUGGAAAAAAUUAUUAAAGGGUCUCCGACCACCGUUAACAAAAUCAAAGGAAGAGCGCAGUGAUGGUCGGGAAGAUGAUGAAAAGAAAAAAAAAGGAUUGAAAAGGUGAUGUAAAGCCAAGUGAGAGAGCGAAUUGAUUUGAGAUAUCCCGACGCCGGCGAGCAAAGACUCCACCGGCGUCGAAAAACAUGAUCAGAAAAUGGUUCUCGAUAAUGGUGCCCGAGAGAGUUUGGCUAACGUUUUAUGAGUUUUAAUAGCAUAUCAGGUGGACUAUUUUAUCAAUUAAAUUCAAAAUUUCCUUUAGUAAACCAACGAAUUUCGAACAUUACACUUUUACACCUCUUGGAUAAAGAGAUGGAAGACAUUUAUUACAGUUGAUGAUAUUAUCGCACCACCACUUUUUGUUUUGUAGGUGGGGCCGUUAAUCUCCAUUAAUUUCAUUGUAAACCACUGUGUUUAUGAAAAAAAUUAAAACUACACUAAUUAAAGCGUAAUAAUAUUGCAAAAUAAAAAUUGGACAUAAGUAGCAUCCUAGAAGAAAUGUAGCUAUAAAAUGAGAAUUUCGAAAGAUAUAUUUGGAAAAGUUAAUCUAAAACCAAAUUAAUGACUGACAGAGGGACAGUAAGUUUACAUUUAUUUAAUAAAACACCAAAUUUGAAAACCGAGAUAAUUAAAGGGUCUAUUUGUAUAAUCGAAGAAGUAGAAGGGUUAAUCGAAGAAAACUAAUAAACUUGCUAAUUUUGAAUAUCAACUUCCCCCCAAUUCAAAUCUGAGCUUCAAGGCCAACUACAACAGCUCUCGAAACUUCAAAAGCUCUGGGCUUCUGGUUCUGGGCAAGUUUCUUAUUGUUCCAGUAUGAGCAAACUAAGCGUUUGAAUUCGAAUCGCCUUCUUAUUCUCCCCGCUUGCUGAAAGAGAGCACAAGCUAGUACUCGAUCUACCAUGUCCCGAAACGUUCCGAGAAUCGAGAUGCCGGAAUCAGAAGAAAACGAGUUCGCGAGCUUGUCUUUGUUUUCGCCUUCAAGAGCUCCUCUGAAUUCGAUACCGGAUCCAAGUCAAAUUCAGAAGGCGAAUCAUCUACCCGAUUUCGAUUUGGUUCAGAAAUUGGAAGGUACAAGAGCGCAGCAUCAACGAACACUGGGUCCGGAGAAGAGACUCGAAGUUUUGGAAGGUAGAGCUGGAAAUUCGAGUGAUUCGAACCCUAAGAUUGUUAAUCGUAAUGGAAAAUCUCGGUCGGAGCCAAACUCUGCGCAGAGUACGCCCACUAGGAACGGUGCUAGGGUUUCUCUUGGAGGGGGUUGUGCUACCGGCGCAAGAGUUGUUCAGUCUUUCGGUGGAAGAGGAAGGAUUCCAAGGGGGAUUUCUAUGGCGGAGUCUGUUAGCUUUGCGGAAACAACUCCACAUUUUGAGCUCAAUGAAGAUCAUUCGUUUUGGAAAGAGCACAAUGUCCAGGUUGGUUGGUGCACUGUUUAGGAGAUUCUUGAUAAAUUCGUUUUUUUAGAAACUUUCUAAUUUAGGCCUCCUUCUAUAUGGUAUAGGUUUUGAUAAGGCUGCGGCCAUUAAGUACAAUGGAAAGGGCUAGUCAAGGACAUGGUAGGUGUUUAAAACAGGAGAGUCCACAAACAUUGGUCUGGUUAGGCCAUCCAGAGACCAGAUUCACCUUUGACCAUGUUGCCAGUGAGACAAUAUCUCAGGUAAGCUUCAUUUCAAAUUCAUGUAGAAGGUGAAAAUAAGCUAUUUUCAGAGGCUUUUUGUAUGUGAUGUGGUUACCUAUAAAUAUAAUGUUCCGGAUGCAUGUUCUGUUGAUUUUCAGGAAAAGUUAUUUCACGUUGCUGGACUCCCCAUGGUGGAGAAUUGCUUGUCUGGUUACAAUAGUUGUGUGUUUGCCUAUGGUCAGGUGAGAUCAUAAAUGAUUAUAUGUUUCAUGUUUCGCUUAUUAGAAUUUCCAUGGUGCAAAAUCAAGAAACUUACCUUCCUCUCAUAUAGACUGGUAGUGGCAAGACUUAUACUAUGAUGGGAGAGAUAUCUGAGGCAGAGGGAAGCCUCGGUGAAGACUGCGGAGUUACUGCUCGUAUUUUUGAGUAUCUAUUCUCAAGAAUUAAAUUGGUAGUUGCCUAACUUCCUCUCGAAGAAUCACUUCAAGCCAAUAUAUUUCAUUACUGAAAGAGGUCUUUGAUAACAGGAAGAAGAGGGAAGGCGAGAUGAAAAACUGAAAUUCAGUUGCAAAUGUUCUUUUCUUGAGAUAUAUAACGAACAGAUAACUGACCUCUUGGAACCAUCAUCAACCAAUUUGCAAGUAAUUAAAUUUUUUUCAUCCAUCACUUGGUUAUUAUUUAUCAGUCUGGUGCUUUUUUUUUUUGUUUUGAGAUUGGUCAUAACCUUAAAUUCCAUAUUUUAGCUCAGAGAAGACUUGGGAAAAGGAGUAUAUGUUGAAAAUCUUGUAGAGCACAAUGUGAGAACUGUUAAUGAUGUUCUAAAGCUUCUACUACAGGCAAGACUUCCAUACCCAAACAUUCUGUUAAGAGUUUAAGUGUUCAAGUUUUUAACUUGAUAUGUAUUCCUUUUGCUCAGGGAGCAACUAACCGGAAGAUUGCUGCAACCCGUAUGAACAGUGAAAGCAGCAGAUCCCACAGCGUUUUCACAUGUACAAUCGAGAGCCUCUGGGAGACAGAUUCUCUAACUCGUUCAAGAUUUGCCAGACUAAACUUGGUCGAUUUGGCUGGUUCUGAAAGGUAGCUUGUAUGUCUUAGUCUUACUGUGUUUACUUUUGCAUCUUUGACUGCUGAAAUCAUUUUUGAUACAUAUACAGGCAGAAAAGCUCAGGUGCGGAAGGGGAUCGCCUAAAAGAAGCAGCAAACAUUAACAAAUCCUUAUCCACUUUGGGGUAAUCCUAACAGAAACCUGUUUACGUGUCAGUUUGUCUGCCCUCUGCUUUUUAUUAUCAUGAACUGUUUUCUGUUGUAUAUUGCCAAGCGUCUCAAUUCUCAGGUCAAAAUAAUAUGCGUACUUUGAUGGAGAAAAUUUGUGAAGAAACUGAAAAUAUGCAAAGCAUGAAAGGAUGACGAUAGUUUAAUAGCUUUGAGGUCUUUAACAACUUAAAAAUGAUCAUGAAGUUUCAGAUUAAUAAUCUUAUGACAAGAUAAGAUGCUAAAAAUUUGUUAUACCUUUUACUAUGCUCUAGUUUUACAUUCUUGGAACAAAAUCUUUGUACCUACUAACUCUUAUCCAUUCAUCUGUCACUUCAGCUUAGUGAUAAUGUCUCUGGUGGAUUUGGCACAUGGGAAACAUAGACAUGUUCCCUAUAGAGAUUCUCGACUUACCUUUUUACUGCAGGUAUGACUGUUAGAGCACUUAAACCUUCAUUUAUUUUUCCGUUGCAGUUGCAUAGGGACUAACUUCAGAUAUGGUUUCAGGAUUCUCUAGGGGGUAACUCCAAAACAAUGAUAAUAGCUAAUGUCAGCCCAUCUCUUUGGUUUGUACCAAUAGCCAUUCUUGUUUAAUGGGCAUACCUUCUCUUGCGUAUUUCUGAUUGUUAUUGUCUUAUUCCAGCUCUACAAACGAAACCCUCAGCACCCUGAAGUUCGCGCAACGGGCAAAACUAAUCCAGAAUAAUGUAGUUGUAAUUCUUCGUUGAUUACGAGCUCUUCUAUGAAAGUUUGACCUGAUGUAAGUUUGCUUCACUUUGAUUUUCCAGGCUAAAGUCAAUGAAGAUGCCUCUGGGGAUGUUACAGCACUCCAACAGGAAAUAAGAAACUUAAAGGUAUUGACUAUUGACAAAUUGCAUCAAACAGCAAAUUUUCCUCGUUUUAUGCGUAGUCAUGUGAGGUGAUAUCAAAACCUUUUCAUUUAUCCAAACAGGUCCAACUGUCUUCUCUUUUGAAGAACCAUGACUCUUGUGGGGCUCUUUCAGACUGCGUAUCUUCUCAUGAAGAAUCCAGAUACUCUGGCACAUGUAAAGUAGCAGGCGAAACAAGACAAGACAAAUGUCACUGUCAGGUGCACAAUUCACUGAGAAUGAAGGUAUUUUGCAACAUAUUUGUGGAUAUCUUGCAACUAUAAUAUUGAAUUGGCUUAAUAACUGUAUAACAGGUGAAAAAUAUGAAAGAUAAUUUGAUUGGUGCUCUCAGAAGGGAAAAGAUUGCUGAAACUGCCCUUCAGAAGUCCGAGGCUGAGAUUGAGCGUAUAGACUGCUUGGUUAGUUUGUUACAAGGACAGUUCAAUUUCGUAUUUUGAAAGGAGAUAUCCUUGACAGAGACAUCUCAUGAUGCAAACGAAAUAGGUUACAUUUUAGUCAUCUUAUAUAUUGACCUUUUACUACAGGUUAGAGACAUGGAAGAAGAUGCCAAGCGCAUUAAAAUAAUGCUUAAUCUUAGGGAGGAGAAAGUUGGAGAGAUGGAAUUCUGUACGCCUGGUCCAUUGAUGACAAAAGAGUGUCUCAUUGAAGAAAAUAAAACUCUAAAAGGAGAGAUCAAGCUUCUUCGCGACAGCAUUGACAAGAAUCCAGAGUUGACACGUUCGGCCUUGGAGAACACCAAGCUCUGGGAGCAGCUACAACGGUAAAUCACCUAUUAAAUGUUUUGGAAGAGUAUUUUAUUGUUAACGACUUAUACUCUGAUCUUAAAUUUCUUUUCAGAUAUCAGAACUUUUAUGAGCAUGGGGAACGAGAGGCAUUGGUUGCUGAGGUGACAAGACUACGUGACCAGGUUUGCGAAUGCCUUUACCAAAUGGACUUUCAGCCUAUAAUCCAAGCUGAACUUUUUCACUUGUCAUGCAGCUUCUUGAUGUUCUUGAAGCAAAAGAUGAGUCCUUUCCUAAACACGUAAUGAAGAUUUGGGGAAAAUAUGCUAUUUAUUUAUUUUUAAUUUUCUUGGAAACUGUUGUUGCUGGUUUCUUAUGCGUGAACUUUGAUAACACUGUAGGAGAACGAAAUGGAAAAGGAAUUCGAAGACUGCAGAAACAUGAACUCUAGUUUGAUCAGGUAAUAUACAAAAUUAUAUGAACUUCAAUUAUCUUUUGUGAAGGUUUGCUAUCGCAUGAAAAUCAUUUACCCUGUUGCAUUUUUCUAUUUUGUUGUGGAAUGAAAUAACUUUUGAGUUCUCUGCUGCAUAAUUAUCUACAACUAUCAUCCUAUUCUCGGAGUGUUUCAACAUACGUCCAUAACCCUGUUGUACAACAAUUCUGCUAUGGCUUGUGUUUGUUAAUACUAUAACCUUGAACCUGAAACUCUUUCAUUAUUCUCAUUGAACCUAAUAUGCUUAAUUUGACUAAAUUGGAAAAGAAGCCAGCUUUGGUACUGUCUCUUAUGUUUUGGUGUUGCUUUUCAACGCAGAGAACUAGAUGAAAUACAAGCAGGACUUGGAAGACACUUGAAUUUCGAUCAAAUACAAUCCAACUUUGUAAGAAUUCAGAGUGACAGAGGAAUGAUUGUUAUAAAUUUUUCUUUGCUGGUUGUUUAUCUUUGUUGUACCUUUUGCAGGAUGCAUCUUCCACCAGUGGAGCUGAGCAGGUUAAUCAAGCACAUACACGUUUAAUGGUUUGUUGAUUCAAUAUUUGUAUCAUAAUAAUCUGGUCUUAAAAUUGCUUUAUAGGGAAACUGUGUAUAUAGGGAAACUCGUUUAACGCCCUUUCUUUCCAUUGAAACAGGCAGAAACAAUGCCAACUAUAAGUGAAACCCAAGAGGAGGUGGCUAUUUCAGAGAGUAAAAACUGCAGCAACAUUGGUAAUUCUGAUGGCAACAGGGUCAGGCUUAUAAAUGAACUGCAGGAUGUACUAGAGGAGAAUGAUGGAUCCAUGAAUAUGCUAACCAAAAGAAGCCGUAUGGAAAAAGAAGUCAUUCCUAGGAUAGAAGGUUAUGACACGGAAUUAAGUGGCAUGGUCAAUAAUAGAGAUGCACUAGUGAAGACUGAUGAGGGGAUAGACCGGUCAAUCCUGCAGUUCAAGUUAGGGAAACUAAUGAAGGACCUUGAGGAGGCCAGAACACUUAAUUGUCAAUAUGAAAAGGAGCAUAUGUCGCAGUUAUCUCAACAGGAAGACAUUGAAGUAGUCCGUGAGCAAGUUGAGACAGAAACUGCCAGAACCAUUCUUGAGUUGCAGGAGGAGGUGAUUGCUCUCCAGUCUGAUUUUCAAAGAAGAAUCUGUAACUUGACCGAGGAAAAUCAAUCGAUGAAAAAUACUAUUACUGCUAGAGAGGCAGAAAUAAGAGCACUUAACCAAGACUGGGAAAAGGGUACCUUAGAACUGACAAAUUUCAUCGUCGAUGGGUCUAAAUCCAUCAAAAAUGCCUCUACACAGAUUGAAAGUAUAAUCUGUUCAUUUCCACAAGUGAAUGCGUGGAUAGGUGAUUAUGUUGAGAAGGCUGCAAAAAAUUGUAUAAAAAAGGAAGAAACAAUUUUGCUUCUACAGAAAAGCUUGGAAGAUGCACGGAUAUUAGUAGCAGAGAUGAAUUUGAAGCUUAAUUCCUUAAAGGGCGCAACAAUUGCUCUCAACGAAUUUCAACUGGGUGGCAAUGCUGCAACCACUGAAGAGGCUUUCAACUUGAAUAAUGAUGUAGACAGGAUGAGCAAUGAGGUAGACACGCUUGAGAGUGACUUAAAAGCAAAGCGGUAUUCUAUUCUGAAAACAGAACGACAUGCUGAAGCUGCUUUUGCUGUGAAAAAAUGGCUUGCUGAUUCUAGAAAGCAACACCAAAUGCUGGAAAAAGUACAAGAUCAAUCAGUUAAAGAAUUUGGUACAUUAAGUUCAAUCUCUGCUUCUCCUAGUGCGGAAGGGAAUGCUGAUAUUAGUUUGUUAAGGGAUGGAUAUCUAAGUGACGCAAUAUAUCCAAAGGGUGAUGAGCUUUCAACAUCAAGCUCUGAGUUUUCAAACAGUAGAUGGCAACAUGAUUGUGUACUCAACGUAAAAUGUCAAGGAGUUUCAAGUUCUGAAUCUGACGCUCAAGAAAGUAAUAACAAGACUACAUCAGCAGCUUUGAUUGCUAAGAAUGGGUCUGCACAUUGUGUUUACUGUGGAGGUAUACUUUUGUUUGUUUUCUCUUAUUCACCAUUCUAAAUUUAAGAUCUGAAAUGAGUAAUAUUGAAAGACUAAACCACCAGUUUUAUUUUAUAUGUAAAGAAAGAAGCUUAAAAUUUUGUUUUAUGCAGAGGGGAGGCAGUCAGUAGAAAAGCCAUUGACUAUUAUGAUGGGGAGAGCAGAAACAGAAUACAAAUGCAGUGAUCCGGUAAGCUUUUAUUAGCAUCGUUUCAUUUUGUGAAGAUAUAUAAAGAAAUUGGUUACAUUGUCAAUGACAAAGUAAACCACUGAACUUAUAUCUCUGCAGCUUUCUUCUGAGGUAUAUAUGGGUCUUAUGCAGAGAAUGGAUCCUGUUAAAAGUUUCUUCGAUCGAUUUGAAGAAGUCAAUGCUACCAUGAAAGAAGCUGAUCUCACAAUAUGUGAAUUAGUAAAGGCCAAUGAGAAAUCAAAUAAUGUUACUGAAAUGUGGCUUCAAACCCAUGAAGAGCUAAUGGUUAAGGAAAAGUAUCUGAUGGAUGAUCUUGAACAGGUCAAGUCUACACUAUCUGCAUGUGAAGAAGAAAAUCAAAUCUUGCUAAAUCAAACACACUCCACUCUGGCUGACAUGGAAAAUUCAGUUUCUUUGCUUGAAGAAUAUAUACAGGAAAUGAAAAGAGGAGUAGAAGAAACAUUAGAGGCAUUGUUUUCCCAUGUCCUCUUAGCUGGAAAAGAGCUUCUCCAAUUGAUUUCCAACUCAAGACCAUCACUUGAACAGAUUGUAUCUGAAACCAUGGAGAGAGAGUUCACCAUGUAUGCAACAUACCAAUGCCACAUUGGGAAACUGAUCGAUCAAAUUUUGGAUCAGAGAAAACAGGUUAUCACUCCCCACCUUUCAGGCCAACAGUCAGUGAAAAUUAAUGCCAUUGGGUAUAAUGCCGAAGAUGAAGUCACUGGAAAGCAAAACACAGCAGAGAUCGUCACAGGUUUAGAAAAUGAUGAAGUUGUUCAGUCACAUGAAAGCCUAUUAUAUGAGAACUUGUAUCUGAAAAAGGAGAUUGAGAGAAAAGAUGCUUUGUUUGAAGGCUUGCUUUUUGAUUUUAGGCUACUUCAGGAAUCAGCAUCAAAUAAAAGAGAUAUCAAGAAUGAAAUGGAUGAGCUGUUUGACGCACUAUGCAAAGUACAGCUAGAGCUGGAGCUGAAAGCAAGUCAAGUUCAUGAUCUUUUUGUUCAUAAUGAGAAUCUUGAAAAUUGCUCCAUUGACUUAAAAACGGCUUUGUUCACGUCACAGUCAGAUCUAGAGCAGGCUAAAGAGAGGAUACAAAUUCUUGUGGAGCAGAAUGAUGAGUUAAGGGUCCUUGUUAGUGAUCUAUGUACGGAAAAGCUUGCAGCUGAGGAGGGAUUGGACGAACAAAAAGAUCUUGUCAAAAGGUUGGAAAAAGAAAUCCUUCACUUGACUACUACAUCAGAGAAGCAAUUGCUUUCUGCGGUCAAGUCCAUUGAAGAAAAUUUGAAAAAGACCAGCGAUGAGAAAGAUCAGCUUGUUGACGAAAUAUGUUCGUUGAAUAAUAAGCUUGAGUUGGCCUAUGCUAUAGCUGAUGAAAAAGAAGCAAUUGCCGUAGAGGCUCGUCAGGUAUGUAAUUGGAGCCUUUUGUUGGAUGAUCAUUUGAUCCUUGGCAAUAUUGAAGGGGUUGACAAGAAUCUAAACUUGUUCUCAUGUAGGAAUCUGAAGCAAGUAAAAUAUAUGCUGAACAAAAGGAAGAGGAGGUCAAGAUUCUAGAAAUUUCUGUUGAGGAACUUGAGCGUACGAUAAAUAUAUUAGAAAGACGGGUUAGUUUGCUCUGUUUUUCAUUCUCUGUAUCUGAUAGGUAUUGCAUGAAACUCUUAUACUUACUAAUAUGUGAGCUAUUUUGGCUUCCAGGUGUAUGAUAUGGAUGAGGAAGUUAAAAGGCAUCGUACCACCCAAGAUUCGUUAGAGACAGAGCUGCAAGCUCUCAGACAGAGAUUGUUUAGAUUUGAAAACUUCACUGGCACUGUGGUCACAACCAAUGAAAGCACAGAGGAAUAUAAGAGUCACAUAUCCAGGUGCCAACCUAAUCCUACUCAAAAUAUUAGUUUCUCUUGCAUAUCUUUCCUGGUGAAGACUGAAUUUGGUAAAAAUAAAUGUAAAAUAGGUCGACAGGGCUGCAAGGUGCGCAUAGUCAAAUACAAGUCCUCCAGAAGGAAGUAGCAGAACAAACCAAAGAGGUGUUUUAUAUUAUUAGAAUGCUCGACUCAAUAUCUCCAUGAAAUUUCCUGAUAUUUGCGCGAAUGAUUAUUGUUUUUUUCUUACCUCUACCUUUGUCUUUCUCCACUUACAGAUUAAACAGCUAAAAGAGUACAUCUCCGAAAUCUUACUGCAUUCUGAGGCCCAAGCAUCUGCUUACCAAGAGAAGGUAAAAGAUUUGUAGACUUUAGCAGUUCUCAGCUCUUAUUUUGAUUGUUGAAUGAUUUAGUUCCAACGUUUCCGUGCUACACAUUUUGCUCAUAUUUGUGUAUCUGUUGACGUUCUUGCUAAAAAAAACACUACGUCAUAAAAAAAUCAAGUCAAGAAUUGCAAUUAUUUUCCAUUUCUAUUGUGAUGAUUUGAUAACAAUGGUGUAUAUUUCGAUAAGCACCUGCAAGUGUUAUUUUCCUUGAGUUGUAGUUCAUAUAGUUUGUUUCCAAUCUCAACAGUAUAAAACUCUGGAGGUCAUGAUACGAGACUUCAAACUAGAAGACUCAAGUUCGUCAGCUGCAGAGACCAUAUCACAUAAAACUGAGAGAAGCUCAAUAAGAAGUAGAGGUUCAAGUUCACCCUUUCGAUGUAUAGUUGGGUUGGUACAACAGAUGAAACUGGAGAAGGAUCAGGAAUUGACCAUGGCAAGGGUUCGUGUUGAAGAAUUGGAGUCACUGCUAGCUGUUAAACAGAAAGAGGUUCAGCCUACCUUCAUUAAAUGAAUGUGCUCACAGAUCUUUAAAUGAAUGUGUUGUCAGCAGAUUAUUUUCAAUUCACCGAUUUAGAGACUCAGUGAAUAUUUUUGUGCUGGAACAGGUUUGCACAUUGAGCACGAGGAUAGCUGCAGCUGAUAGCAUGACUCAUGAUGUAAUUCGGGAUUUACUUGGUGUGAAAAUGGAUAUAACCAGCUAUGCUGUAAGUAUAUCAGAAUAUAUGCCAUCUUUAAAAGACUUCAUAGGCACUUUUUCUGAUUGUAUUGGUCUCUUCGUUGGGCUAUUUCAGGAGUUGAUUGACCAGCACCAGGUCCAAAGAUUGGUUGAAGAGACUCAGCAACACGCUGAAGAGAUCCUGUCCAAGGUGAUGCUAUAUACUUAGCCGCAUCUGCUUACUUUACUUGGUCUUCAGUUUGUUAUUGAUACCAACUUUCUCUUUCAAUAUUAGGAGCACGAAAUCAUCAACCUGAAGAGACAUAUUGAUUGUCUUGUUAAGGAAAGAGAGAGGUUAGUCCUAUUCCACUUAUACUAGAACUGUUCUAUCACGAGCCAAAGUGCUUAUUUUUCUCUUGGGAUUUUCCGGCCUUUUGGUGGACAGUUGCAUGUCAGAGUUGAACAAGAAAGAUACAGAUGUUCUUGCGACACAGAUAUCUUUGGACCAACUACAAGAGCGAGUUCAGUUGCUUUCUAUGCAAAACGAAAUGCUUAAGGUAAUCAGGAGUUUCUUCUACCUAUAUUCUCACCACCAGUUCUAUUUAUCAUAUGUGUUUUCCUUAACUCACUGAUUCUUUCUAUCUUCCGUUUUGCAGAAUGACAAGAGCAAUUUGCUGAGGAAGUUAGCUGAACUUGAUCGAACAGUCCACGAUGCACGGGCCAGUAACCAUCGUGCUUCACAGACAACAAAGGUAUUGUAUAGUAUAACGGGCUGCCUUUGCAUAAUGGAGAAGAACUCAAUGGUUGAUUCUAAGAUCCUGAAUUUUGUUUUAUCGAACAGGAUACAGUGUCAUUUAAACUUGCUGAUACUGAUUAUACCAAGAGACUGGAAAACGCUCAGAAGCUUCUUUCCCAUGCUAAUAACGAAUUGGCAAAGUAUCGCAAAACGAGCAAUAACCAUCCAUCUACAAGAACUCAAGGACAGAGCUCUGGUACAAGAUAUCGGUAAGAGUUUUUUUUUAAAGCUUCUCUUCUCCUGGGCUUGUUCUUGAGAGUAUAUAUCGCACGAGUCAAACCUAUGAAGCUAGUCAAGCAAUCUGAACAAGGCAGAGUGUUUUAUAUGGCUUGAUCGUCCAUAAACAAGUCCCACUUUCCAGUAGCUUGAUGGAAUAACGUUCUUGGCAUGUUUUUGGUUAACUUUUUGUGUGUGUUAAAUUGGAAUUGUUGUGUAUAAGAAUGCAUAUAACAUGUUGCUGCAAUUGGCCUGUUGUUGUAUUUGUAUGUUUAUAUUCUCCGAACAUUUCUUAUUGCUAAUAAAAUAAUGGUUUUGUUCCUCAUCUAAUAACGGAGUAAACAUGAAUCCAAGAUAUGAUCGGAACAAAUGGCAUAAAAAGAUUACAUAUAAAACUCCACCCUUCUAUAUGAAAGUUACAUUCUUUGUUUUAUAUGCUCUAACCGGAUGGAUCAAUAAAUUAAAGAAAUGUUAAAUAACAACCAAGUAGAGAACAUAAAAUAGUCAAAAAUCAUAAUACUAAUAUAUAGCCAUUGCGAAUUGGAAACACAAGGUACUCAUUGGGUAAUGACUUUUGUUUGGCAUUGCAAUCCUUAAUGCGGUCACAACGAGCCCGAUUAUUAACAUCAUUUACGAUUUCAUUUGAAAAUAACUAAUUAUUUAUUUGGUUAUAAAAACACAUACGUGAAAACGAAUUGAAUUAGACUUAAUUUUUUCUUAUGUUUUGCUCAAAAUUUUACUUUACUUUUAUCAAUUUAUAUUUUUAAAAGCUUAAUCACAUAUCUUACGUAAACACAAUCAUGUUGAUGAAAUUGGUUGAAAAUUAAUUAUCGUUCAAGAAUUUUCAUUAUGAACCCGAUCAUUAACAUUAUCUUGAGGUCCAAGGUAUUGAAAGAAAUUUUUUUAAACAAUAAAUAAAAAAUAACAAAAAAACCACACACACAUAUAUAUAUAUAUAUAUAUAUAUAUAUAUAUCAAUAAUGAUGGGUAGACAACAUUUUUCACCUUUUUACGAGCCUAAUUGUUUUGUUUUUCUGUCCAUCGCUGCUUCGGUCGCCCACAUCAAAUCCGUCCAAUCCAUAGAUACUCCAUAUGAAGCCUUGUAGAAGUAAUAGGAUUGAUAAUGAAGGAUGCAUUAAAGCACAACUCUUUGUUCUAAUCCCUCCAACCUGAUAACUCAAUAAAUUAAACAAAUUAAUGUCAACUAAAAAAAUAUAUAUUUCUCAAAAGUAAUAACAAUUAUUUCUCACCGCCGGUGCAAUUGGAUAAACCGCCUUCGCCAUUGCAAACGGAAAUAUAAUGACACUCAUUAUUGGGUAACGAUCAGUGUGCAUUGCAAUCUUUAAUCCGACCACGUGGAUGAUUGCACCUAUGCAACUCGUUACAAGCCUUUGUUUUUUCCCUCCAUCCCCGCUUCAAUCGACCACAUCACGGUGCAUGUCAAUGUUACGACGUAUGGUGCAUAGUUUUCUUCUUUUCCUAGUCCUAUUAUGUAGCUCCUUCAUGGUCCUCCUACACGUACGUAUAUAAUUUGAUUAUAUAUAUAUACAAAGGGAAAUGAAAUAAAACUCACACGUACAUAGAAAGAUUUAUUGCUAAACUAUUCUUGACUACAACUAUUAUAAUUAUUAAAAAAUUAAGCAAAAACAAAGAAAAUAUAUUGACAAAAUAUAAGCAAAAUAUAAGUUAAUUAUAUAUAUAUAUAUAUAUAUAUUAGAUAAAAACAACAUAUUAAAUCUAUUUAUUUUAUAUAAAUAAUUGGAUGUUCAUAACUUAACUAAUUUGUAAAAAAAAAAAGAUUUCCAAAACUUUCAUAAAUGAAAAAAGUUUUAUAGCAAACUCUUUUAUAAAUGAAAAAGCUUAAUCAUAUAUCAUUUUACAAAGGGUUUUGAGUUCAGCACACCAGUGUUAGAAACAAACUAGGGCCUUCUGUUC
This 57286-nucleotide long non-coding RNA is filed under the name Arabidopsis lyrata. Its description in RNAcentral is "long non-coding RNA (ALYR_LNC002321)". Lineage: Eukaryota; Viridiplantae; Streptophyta; Magnoliopsida; Brassicales; Brassicaceae. The record is from RNAcentral.